Molecule: long non-coding RNA, 47978 nt
Filed under: Lactuca sativa (garden lettuce)
Lineage: Eukaryota; Viridiplantae; Streptophyta; Magnoliopsida; Asterales; Asteraceae
Description: long non-coding RNA (LSAT_LNC000203)
Source: RNAcentral
AUAGCAAGAGAUGAAUCAUUAGAUUUAAUUGUGUAUAUACGUGCAAAAGAUGGCUUGAUCUUUCCAUCCUUGAUGGCUUGUAGAUAUUCCGGGCAGCUUCUCUUCCAAUGCCCUAUUUUGUGGCAAUGAUGGCACUCUGCCUCUUUUAGGUUAGGGUUGGGCUUAGCAGGAUCAACCUUGGUCCCACUAGAAGAGGAACCAUCUUAGCACUUUCCCUUGCGGUGGUUCUNCGGAGCCUUCUUGUUGUUGCCCCUUCCCUGCCCUAUAGCCAAAACAGGUGCAGCGGAUGGAUUGGGAGUUGGUGCAACAGACUUGUCCUUUAGGUUGCUCUCAGUAGUCCUUAGGAGCCCUUGGAGUUUGCUUAGGGUGACCUCUUACUUGUUCACGUGGUAGGUCAUCCUAAAUUGGUUGUAGCAUGAGGGCAAGGAGUGAGGAACAAUGUUGAUGGCCAAAUCCUCCCCAAGGUUAACAUUAAACUUGCGAAGACGGUCAAUAUAUCUCUGUAUCUUUUGCAAGUGCACGGUAAGAGAUUCUCCACUUCCCAUUUUAGCAGUGAUCAUAUUCGUGAUGAUCUCAUAGCGCUCUUGCCUCGCGCUUUGCUGGUACCUCUCCAUUAAGUCUUGAGGCAUUUCAUACGGAUACAUGUCCUCACAGGACUUUUGGAAUUCUUGGUUCAUUGUGGCUAUCAUGAUGCAAUGGACUUUCGUUGCAUCACUUUCAUGGGUCUCAAAGACAUCCAUCUCUUCGGGAGUAGCGAUUUCGGGGUUGACCUUCUCGAGCUUCUCGUCGAUGACAUACUCUUUGUCCUCACAGCGUGCGAUCGUGCGAAUGUAUCUUAUCCACUCGCUAAAGUUCAAUCCAUCAAAAGUCACCUUUUGGCAAAGACUCAUUAUCGUGAACGAGUUAGCAGCAGCGUUGUUUGCGUUCGACAUCUUCAAAUAGAAAGGACAAAGUUUGAUUAGAAUUGAAUCCCUAAUUAAACACCCAAAAUGAAAAAUUAGGGCUAGGACCCAAAAACAUUAUUCACAUAUUAGAAAAGGGAUGCCGUAAUCCAACACGCAAAUAAUUUGGAGGUAAGUGAAUGACGAUUCACUAAUUCUUCAUUGAACUUAAGUUUUAAAUGCAUUGAGAAUUCCUAGAUUUUCUUGGAGAUUCAUUGAACAUUUCAAUGGCGUGUUUAAAUCUCGAUAUGCCCUUCUCGUUUGUGACUGGGAUACCGAGGAUUACAAAGUGGGUGUGAAUAACCAUGCUAAUCUACACGGUGCCUUCAUUGUUACAAUCACCUAUUCGAUGUGCCGGUAAACCACACACGCUCCAUCGAACUAUGAUAAACACUGAAUCACCCUUUGCCACCUUUGCUUAGAACUAAUUAGUGUGCCGGUAAACUACACACACUCCACUAACUUCUUAGCAUGGGUGCAAAGUGUAAUUUCAUGGGAUUGCAUCAAUUCACUUUUGCCUAAAGUAACUAGGAUUGGGAAUUUGCAAAAACAUGUAGUUACUUUAUAUUUUAACAUUAUACUUUUAAUGAGAAGAGAGAGUUGCCAUAUCCUACCCGUUCGACUAACGACCCUCCACCAGUCAAGCAAGCGGUGGGUGUGAGUGUACACCCAUUAAGCGCCAUUUUAUAGGCAGCAACCUUAUACCCACCUUAUAGACCGGCUUCGUGAAUGAGGCCUACUAAUGGUAACACUAGCCUUUUAAUUAUACAUAUAUAUAUUCAUUAAGCUUUUAAUAAUAUAAUAGUAUAGGGUUGAAUUUUAAACUUGUAAAACUCUAGGGGUUGAAAUUUAAAUUCUUCUAAAUUAAACUUUUAAUCACAAAAUUCAAAUCUCAAAACUUCGGGACAAAUUUUGAACUUUUCAAAACUAAAGGGAUCAAAUAACAAAUAAUUAAAUAACUAAUUUCAUAAUUAUCUAUAUUUGACCUAAUCCAAUUUUAGUCAUUAGUUAAUUACCAAAUAAUUUUAAAUAGUCCAUAUUUAUCAUAUAAAUAACCAAUAUUCAAAAGAUUUGAAAUUAUCUAUUGUUAUGUCAAGGAUAAUCAUAAAAUUAAGUCAAAAUUCGGAUUUUAACAUAACAAAACCAUUUAGGUAUCAAAUCCAACAAAACAACAACAAAAUCCCGAAAUAUCCUCUGCCUGACGCUCGGACUUGCCGAGUCAGCUUUGGACUCACCGAGUAGGGCCAACUCGCCGAGUCCAGACACUGACUCACCGAGUUGGGUCGGGCAGAGGCCAAAAAAAAACAAUUUUUAGCAAGCAAAACAGUUAAGCAUCACAUUCAAUUGAAAACAAUCAAGGCUCUGAUACCACUGAUGGGUUUGAGCCAUAAGAACUUUCCUAUGUGCACAUGCAAACCCUAAUGCUUGGAUCUAGGUUUCUCUAAUUGAACAUGCUUUGUAUCCAAGACUUUGAAUCAUAGAUCUAGUGUAAACAAACAAUUCAUAACAUAUGAAAUCAGAUCUAGAAGAAUACCUUGAAUUACUUGCUAUCAAACUUCUUUUCCUUGGAGCUUAGAUUCACAAUUGUCACUCCUCUAAUGGCUUACAAACACCAACUAGCAAGAAGAUGAUUUGAGAGAGGGAGAGAGGUGAGAAAUCGGCUUUAGGGUUUCCUCAAAGAUAGAGUGUCCGAUUUCUCCAACCCUAAGGGUCUAUUUAUACUAUGAGCUCCUAGGGUUUCACCUUAAACCCUAAUUGGAUAACUUAGCAUCAAAGCAAUACAAAGAUCCUUCUAGAUAAGGCCUUGGAUGAUUUUUAAGAUAUCCAUAUCCUUAAAAUCGUCCCUUCCCAUAUCCACAAGGAUUCAUAGCCCUAAACACAACUAUCACAAAUUUGACAGUUUAUGCCUCUUUAUUCGAUUAAUAUCCUUAAGUCACCAAAUUAAUUUAUGACUUAUAUCAAUCAAAUAAUAUUAUUAUUCCUUUAACAUAUUAUUCUUAUAAUACAUUAAUAAUAAUAAUAUCUCUUCUCUCUAUAUAAAUCACCUUGUCAAGUUGUUAUGGUGAAGGCGACCCAAAAGGACCAUGCACAACCGAUUCAAGUACUUACCAAAUAUAGUUACAGCCUUAGACACUAAUCCAACAGUUAUCUGUUCGACACUAAGUCCAUAGCUGCCAAUAUCCAUUUAUACGACACUAAAUCCAUAGUUGCCAACGUUCAUUUGUAAGGCACUAAGUCCAUAGUUGCUAAUAUGUAUUUGUAAGGCACUAAGUCCAUAGCCGUCAGGGUUUAUCUAUUUGGCACUAAGUCCAUAGCUUCCAAUGUUCAUCUAUAUCAUCUUUCAUCUCUCAUCAUUUAUCUACCCAACUUUACCCAAUAUUUUUAAAGGUAUAAAAUACAUAUACAGUUUAAAUAAAAUGAAACAUGUAUAUUUUGGUCAUCCAGCAUAGAUAUCAAGAUCACAGAUAAUAUGCACACAUAGCACGUAAUUUAUAUUAAAUACUUCAUAUCUAUUUGUAAGAUGAAAGUAAAUAUGCACUCACUGGUUAAAGUGAUGACUCGAAAUUCGGACAGUGCUUCGCUUCUAACAAUCGUUUCCAUCGAUGAAACCCAAUAUUAUUACCACUAGAUUUUAGUAUAAUAUUUAUAGUGACUAUUUACGAGUGAUAUUGUUUUAUAAGUGUUAAAAAAUACCUUUCAACCACUAUGUAUAAACAGGGGCGAUGCAUGAAACACCGGAGGGCAUGACCAUUUUGGCAUUAUAGCACUUUAGAAAUCCAACAACCCUAUACGGCUCUUCAAACCAGAUUCCUCGUACCGCGAGUAGUUAAGAAAUAUUAUAAUAACACUUAAUAUAUAUAUANAACGUAAAAACACUAUUUUUAUGUUAUUAUUCUGCAAUGAAUUUUGUAUCCACAACUUUAUGUUAUUAUUCAACAAUGAAUAAACGAAUAGUCAUAGGUUAAACUACAAUUAGAAUUUACUACAAAAAUGCACAUACACAAAUUUAUAAUAGAAUAAUAACAUUCUAAUGAAUAUAUGAAUAAUCAAACGUUACUAUUCAAUCGAGAAUUAGUUCAACACUACACAUAUACAAUAUUCAUUACAGAAUAACAACAUAAACAUAGUGUUUUUACGUUGUCACACUAUUUAUUGUUUUUAUUUGAACUUACUUCUAUAUAUAUAUAUAUAUAUAUAUAUAUAUAUAUGUGUGUGUGUGUGUGUGUAUGUGUGUGUGUAUAUAUGNUAUAUAUAUAUAUAUAUAUAUAUAGUUUAUAAGUUCAUAAUAACGAUAAUAAAUUUAAGCCUAAGCUAUACUUAAAGUAGGGUAAGCAUAAAUCACUUACCUAGAGGUUUAGCUAGGAACCGGGCUCUGCAGGGGCAGAACUUCUAAGCCGAAAAGCUCUUUUUCUCAGAGCCUUCUAGCGCUCCAUGGCUUUCUUCUAGCACUUAGAAGUUACUAGGGCUUUAGGAGGGGUUUGGAGAGUGGUUAGAGAGAGAAAGAAGGGUUAUGGUUUUAAGAAGAAUGGCAGCCCUCGCAUCCGUUUUAUAGGCAGGAGGUACGUUGGGCGUACGAGGUUAAGCUGCGUGUAGUAGGGCCAGGUGGUGCAUUUCGGAUGGGGCGACGUGGAGGCUUCGGAGUGAAGCAUUACGAGACCGCGGGGCGUACUCACCCUCGCAACAGCCCAUCCCGACUUCUAAAUUCUCUAACUUUCGCAUACAAGCUCCAUUUUCGACGUUCUUUAUGUCCACGAAUAGGUGGAUACGUUCUCUACAACUUCCGUUUAGACUCCGUUGGCUAAUUUUGACUUUAUUUUUAAAGUUAUAUUUUAACAGGGCUGAACAGGUAAAGUCCGUUAAAAGUUCAUAACUUUGUCAUCCGACGUCCGUUAUUGUCAGUUUUUUUACUGUUGAGAUCCUAUUAAUGGCAUCUUCGAUUCUUGUUUAGGCUGUGUCGGAUAGAAAUAAGUUGAUCUAAAAUUCAAAUUCCGGGCUGCAUACUGCUAUGCCAAAUCUUAGAAAAAUCAUAACUUUCUUAUACGAUGUCAGAUUUGGAUGUUCUUUUUAUGCACGCUCUCGGUUUAACAUAUACUAUAACUUUCGUUUAGAUCCAUAAGGCUAAAAAGUAAUUUAUCAAAAGUUCACUUCUUACGUUACACGGUGUUGAACCGGUUUAGCCGUAAAACUUCGAUGGGUCAUAACUUAUGCGUUAUAACUCGGAUUUUAGCAUUCUUUAUAUGUACGGAACCUUUGAAACAUAUACUAUAACUUGGGUAAGAUUAUUUAUCCUAAAUAAUAUUCUAUCAAAAAGUUAUUUUUAACGCUUGUUGUCUCUAAAUUGACUAGCCCGAAUCUGCUGACGUUAUACUCUCCCCAUGAACUACUAUCUCUCCCCCAGUUGGAGUCUAAACCCGAACCAACUGCUGCUCAAAUUCGAUCACUACCCCAUUAGGGCUCAACCAAUGCAUGCCCACUAUAACUUUGUUUCCACACAAAAGAAUGGGAACCAAAUCAAUCGGAUACUGCUCGCUGAAUAACUAGAGAGUACAACCCCGAUAACCCUCGCUACUAGAAUAAACCUAUCAUCGGCAAUCUCGAGAUCUAGAGGACAAUCCAGCUCCCCCAUAGCUCCAAAAAAUCUCUUUCUUAGCAUAAGCGAUACAAACAAUCAGAUAGCUCCUGAUCAGAUAAUACCAAUGCAAAAGUAUCGUUCGCAAGGAACGAUCCUAAAAUAAAACACACAAACACAAGCAAGCAAUUCAAUAAAAAUAAAGAGAUACGGAGAAGAUACAUACCCGUAACCACAUCAAGAGCUGCACGUGCCUCCUCGGUCGUCAAUUGUAAAGCCUUGCUCUUCACCACAGGUGUGUCUGCCCGGUCCUGGCGGCCGUCGAUAAUCUUAAGAGUUGCGGGAGCAGGUGUUGACACCGGUCCUGCUGUAGCCAAACUCGGAAAAUGGGCCUUCUUGUGGCCCCUCUGAUUGUAAUGAAAGAAAAUUAGCUCGCACAUGAAGCAGCCAUAACCACCCACCUUGCACGUCCACUAGUGCGACCUGUCGCACUUACUGCAGCGGCCUCGGCCCUGCUGGCCCUUCCCUCUCGUAUCAACAACCUUGGGCCUUUUACCCAAACCCCUAAUACUUGAACCUCAUCUGGCUUCCUCUUCCUCUCCAUCCUAAGAUCAUUCUCCCUCUCUCUAGCUCUCUCUAUCAUAUCCUCCAACGUCCUACAGCUGGAUCGGGUCACAAACUGCCGAAUGUCACUCCUCAACAUCUCACGAUACCAGGAGUUCUUCAUCUCCUCAUCCGCCACAUACUACGGAACCAGAAGUGCCUUCUCCCAGAACAUCGCGGUGAUCUCAGCCACCGUCUUCGUAAUCUGGCGGAGAUACUGAAACUAUCAUGCUAACUGCUGCACCUCAAUCACUGGUGCAAACUCAGCUCGGAACUUGGUUAAGAAAUCAUCCCUGACAUCACAUCAACAACAUCGCCACUCACUGCACGUCCUACCUCCUCCCACCACUCUCGUGCCCUGUCCUUUAAAAGGUAGGAAGCUAGUCUAACCCUGUCCUUCCCGGGGCAAUGGCUGGUGCGGAAAGUGUUAGCAACAUUCGCUAACCACCUCCUGCUCGCUAUCGAGUCCUUCACCCCAUGAUAAUUCGAAGCUCCAUAGGCCCAAAACUCCUUUAAGUUCAAUGAAAGCGCCCCAACCAAAUCCACCAUCUCUGAGCAAAUAGUGCUUAACAGCUCAUCCAGAAUCUAUAGAAUGCCCUCCUUGACCGUGCCAAAGAUCAUAGGAGUAUGCUCAAGGAUAUUAUGCGUAAUCUCAAACAGGAUGAACUCCCUCGUCUGGUCAUCUAGCUGCCCAGCUCCAAAUCCUAUGCCCGAGCUCUAUCCAGCACUAGAACUGCCAACAGGUCUGCCUCGCAAUGUCACCAUACUGAAAAUAGAUCAGAAAAACCAUCAUAAUACACAUCAAUAUAUAUAUAUAUAUAUAUAUAUAUAUGGAGGGAUCUCUUNUAUAUAUAUAUAUAUAUAUAUAUAUAUCGGGGAAUCACAAACUCCACAAGCUCCAUGGUUUCAUCGCAACACUCCUUAAAUCGAGUACGAAUCCUAUGCUUCCAGUAGUAUGGGUCUAUACUACCUUCCACUUCUAUCCGUACUUCGCGCAAGGAUUGCCUUGACUCCACCAAAUCACUUUAUAUCCAUACAAUUACCCCUCUCAGAUAAGGCUCCCAACACUAGAUCUAAUCCUAGGUUUUCUUAGGGAAAACUACACACCACUGUCUGCCCUCAGCUGUAGAAGGAAUUCCCGAGCAGUUCCCCUUGGAACUGGAAGUACCUGCCACAUAAACUGAAAACCCUAAGCAUGAAGCUUAGUGAGAUCCCUAAGAUACCACAUACCAAAUUAUACAACACAUAACGGGACCCGCCCAAAGAAUAUAACAGGCCCCACCCUAACUCACAUAAUGGGCCCCGUAUAAUGAGUAUAACGGGCCCCGCCCUAACUCAUAUAACGGGCCCCGCCCUAACUCGCAUAACAGGCCCCGUCCACAUACAAUUCCUACUACAUGAUCAGUAAUAGCAUACAUAAUAGUCAUCGAGCCCUGCCCAGUAAGCAUACAAGCACAUAUACAUACUAGUAUCACAUAGACAAUGGGUAUUUGAACAUAACAGAUCAUGGGUUAGCAUUGGUACCUUCAACCCGCUACACAUGGUGAAGAACUCACCUCAGACUGGUGAAUAACACCGAUAAUCCCUGUUUGCUAGUCCAACAAUUCCCCGAACUAUCAAUAUAAAAUAACACCUAUUUAACAAUUGGUUUCAAAUCUAUAUCCUUCAAUCCAUACUUUGGGUAAAAAUGCCAUUUUACCCCUUACCUAGUUUGGUCCAAGUCUAAAGCCCAAACUUUCAAUAUAAAAGGCCCAAAAACCAAUUAUCCAACUAAGGCCCAAUUUUCUAAAUUGGGCCCAAAUCCAUACAUGGACCUUACCCUAAGGCGCAACAGUUUUUCCUAGGCCAAAUACUUGCAUUCAGGUGGCCCAUUAAUGCGCCAAGCAACUAAGCCCAAAAGAAAGCCCAAACUCGAAGCCCAAACAUGCGAGGCCCAACAGACUUAGUAUAUGAGGCAUACUCAGCACAUACACGCAUCAUACUUGGUUGAAGUCUUAUACGCUAAGCGUACUUGCUUGUAUGCCCAACGUACUCACCCCUUCAUCCCAAAACUUGAUUUGAACACUUAAUCCCUUAAGACAAAGCUCCAAAACAUAGAUCUGACUUUCUUAAGCUAGAUUAUCACAUAAAGUUGCUAACUUUACGUUCAUGCAUCGCUAAAUGAAGCUCUUAAGCUUAAAAAGGACUUAAUAAGUUACUUAAUGCAUGCAUGUGACCAAAAAUCCCAUAAAGCUUGCACCUUUAUGCUUAAGGAAUCCAAUACAAACUCAUAUAUCUUAAACAACAAGCCCUUAAAACGUCUUAACUCUUCCAGCAACCCAAAAAGGGACCAAAAGCAUAACAAAACAAACUUUGAGGAGAUCUAAACAUUUAGAAGCCAAGAUUUAAACUUGAUACUUCAGAAAGAUUUCAUAAAAGAUGAGGAUUCUGGAUCCAAAACCUCCUCACCAAGCAAGGCAACUUCAAGCUUUUUUAUUUUCUUCACAAAGGCAAAAAUGGAGGCUAGUAAAGAUGCCAUCCAUGAGGACUUAAGGCCUUUGUAUAGGGCGCAACACCCUAAAUUAGGGUUUGAACAUAUCUCAUGUACACCCUGCGUACAUAAAUAUACGCCCAACAUACAUGUCCGGAGUCCCGACCCAACCUCGCAUCAGUACGUUAAGCGUAUCAAGUGGUACACCGCACAUACUCUCAUUAUAGUUUGUACGCUAAGCGUAUCAUGUGGUACGCCCCGGGUCCUGCCCAAGGACCAAAAUGCAACUUUUAUAAUAACAAGGACAAUAAAGAAACAUACUAGGAUUUAAGUGUUCCAUAUAUGUAUGUAUAUUGUUUUUAUUACGUACAGAUAUCAUAAAAUUAAACCUUAUUUUGUAUAGUCGUCGAGAAAGGUCUCGAUCAUUCCAUCAUCAACAUCCAUAUGUUUUUUCAUAUUUUGAGGAUUCAAAUCGACAAGAUCUAAACUAGGGUGUGCAUAAAUUAACAAAUCCAAUUGGAACAGAACGAUCCAAUUAUGAACCAACCGAUUUGGAUUGGAUAUCCAAUUAUAAUUGGAUUAGAUCAUAUGCAAAAUUUGAAAUCAUUUAGAUUGGAUUUUUUAUUGCAUCAUCCUGAAAAUCCAAUGGAUAACCGAACAGAUCCAAUUGGAUAUCAAUGUUAAUCUAAUAAAUAUCCAAUAUUAUUUGGUCGAACUUUGAACCUUAGGCAUUGAAGUUGAAGACUUGAAGUUAAUGUUACUUUGUUGGUCUUAUAUAACACAAUGAUAUGUGAUUUUAUUUUUAGUUAUCAUACUUAUAUUUGGUUAUUCGAUAGAAAGAGAUUAGAAAUGGUUGGAUAAUGGAUACCGAUUUAUUAAAUCAAUAAAAAUAUCUAAUGGAUACAACCCAUCAAAUCCAACAUCUAAUUGGAUCAUUUAGUUUGUUUUUUUAAUACCGAAUCGAAUUGGAUCGGUUGAAAAAAAAAAUCCAACAUCCAAUAGAUUAUUGGAUUGUUAGUUCUAUCAAAGUAUAUUGGAUUUGAACUGAUGAACACCCCUAUUCUAAACAAACCAUUGAUAAUAUUUUGCUCCACGGAAAUCAGGAAUAAGGCAUUAAGCCCCACUAUGAUGAUCAUAAUAUCAACAGGAAACAAAUAAGUAUAACAAUAAGGUAAAUAUACAUACUUAUACAUUAACAUAUGGUUCAAUUAUAUAAAUAAUAUAAGUUUUUUUACUUAAAAACAUGGUUUGGUUGUAAGAAAUGUUGUAUAUAUGUAAGUAUACGGUUUAAAUAAAAUAUAUGUAUUUAUAUAUGAAAUAUGAUUUUUAUAUGAAUAAAUACGUGCAUAGACAUUUAAAUAUGUAUUUAUACACAAAAAAACACAUAUUUAUUUAUAAAAUAUUUUUUAUAUGUAAAUAUAUGUUUUACAUAAAUAUCAUUAUAUUAAUACGUAAUAGAGCAUAUUUAUAUUAUGUAUGAUUAAUGAUAAAAAAAAUAUGUAGAAAGUUAAUAAAAGUAAAGAAUAAAUAUGUCUAAAAAAUAUUGAUUAAAUAUGUAUUAAAUAAUUAAUGACUAGUGAAGUAUCCCAACUUUGCGGGGGUUGGAUAUGCAUUCGAGUGUUUGCAAAAGUAACUUAAGAUGAAUAUUUUAUUUAUUUAUAGAUUGACGUGGAAGUCGCUACGGUAGUAAUGCAAUGCACGCAUGAACGGUCCAUUGGAAAACAACAAAAGCACAUGUCCAAAGGAGAAAGUAUGCAAUUCAAUACCAAGGAAAUUUGUGACAAAUAAUAUAUCUUUAGUCUCGUAAUAUACAAUAAAGAAAAUCUAAAGUCUAUUUUAAUACAAAAAAAUUGAAAAAAAAAAAAAUACUUACCAAGCUAUUCAAUGUAGUGUCAUCAAGCAGAAACACAACAAUGAUAUUAAGAGUGAAAUGAACUAUAUAAAACUCCACUAAACAAAGAUAGAUAUAGACAUUAAAAAGAAACAUUCAAACAUUGAAUGCAAGAAAAUAACAAUGUAAAUUAAUUUAUGUUAAGUAAGUAGAAAAAAUCAAAAAGAGUAUUCACAUCUAUCUUUGUUCCAAAAUGCAUACCUAACUUUUCAAGCUUAAUGACUUACCUAUAGUUGCAAACUUUGCUACUUCUCAUGAUUUGUCCUUUAUCCAACUCUUUGACAUCCUUGUGAGUCUUCUUUCGCUUGGCCACGAUAUCUGAAUCAUAUUUUAAAAUAGUCACACACUUAAAAUAUGUAAAAAAAAAAAAGUCAAAAGUCUCAUUUUGGGUGAAGUAAUCUAUUUUAUCCACUCAAAAAGUCAACAGUCACGGUUACUUGCAACAAAUUGGGUAGAGCCUUAUACCUGCAAAAGUAAUGUCAUCAAAUUAAAGAAUGCAUACUUCAUUGUCUUCUGCACACAAUACAACAGUAGAUAUAGAAAUUAAGAAUCAUAAUCAUAAUUGUUAAGAAUCUAAGGGUAUAUUGAUUUAUACAACCAAGAGAUUCAAGAAAUUCAUGGAACUGAAACUUGAAUACCAUAGAAAAUCAGGAGAAUGUUCCAAGAAAAAUUACUAUUUGUGUUUCUUGUAUUAAUGUCGACUAAAAUACCACUAUGAUGAUCAUAAUAACAAAAUCAAAAUCAACUAAAGUACAUUUCUAUUUCUUGUAUUAAUGUCGACUAAAAUACCAAAACCAUUAUUUUAUUUAGAAACUUUAUGUGAGGCAUUGGCCUUAAUCUAGUUAUGUGAAGCUUUAAAUUCCUUUACAUCACCCACCCAAUGAAGACCAUCCAUUAAAUGUUGUUCUUCUGAAGCAUUACGACCAACUUUUCGUGACUGUGAACUGAAAUCAUGGAAUAAUUUAAUUUAUUAAUAAAAGUUUAUAAUUAGUAGUGUUUUGAUAGUUUAGUCGGGUACAAACAAUGUAAUUAGAUAAAUGGGUAACAAAACAGUUAAUGUAGUGUUUCUCCAAUGCAUUCUGUAAUAAGACCCUUUUAAGAAAUGAAAAUAUUAGCGGAAUCCUCGUCAACUAUGACAUUUGAUUCCAUAAAAAGUAAAAUAAAAAAAGAUUAAAAUAAAAGUAUAACACUUUGAAUAUUUUUGGAAGCAACAGAUGCUAUUAAACCAACAAUAAAAUAAUAUAGAAAGAAUUUAGGAAACAACAUUUGUUGUUAGAUCAACUAUAAAACAAUGGAAAAAAUAUUUAAAUAAAAGUUAGAAAACACAGAAAAAGACCAAUGUAAAUUGUAAAUAUUGGUGUGUGACUUUUGUGUAGAUUUAAGUUUAUGGAACCAACAUGUCUUUGCAUGCCUUACAUACAACAUUUUCAAUAAGUCAUUGUAUGGCCACCAAUUGAUGAGUUAUUGUGUCAGUUGUUGGUCAAAUAGCUCUAAACAAAUGUUUAGGUUUGUAAUAUAGCCCUUCAUCUGUAUAAGAAAAGUUGCACAUUAAUAAGCAAAGAUGAAGUAAAAUGGAAAACAAAAUGGACAGGAUCCACAUAUGAAGGUAUUUCAGUCAAUAACCCAAAAAAAAAAAAAAACAUUUUUAAGCUAUCCAUGUGAAUUUUUUUUUAACUACACGCAUUUUUUUUUAAACUUUUGUAGUGAACGAAAGUAGGAUGCUAUAUUAGGAAAAUACAAAGAAAAAAAUCAAAGUACGUUACUACCUCUUACACCAAAAACCAAGUGUCAGUUUGGCCAUGUGAAGGUCCUUUUUCCCCUUCACUUCAUAGAUUUAGAUAUUUACUGAAUUAGUUAUCCUUAUGUGUUGUUAAUUUCUUCUUUGAAUCAAAUUGAAGAACAUACUAUCUUUUUAAAUUUAAAUUGCACUUAUCUCUAACAAUAAUUUUAAAAAAGUCAAAGAGUUUACCACCAGGUACUCCUAAUAGUUCACAAACAGAAAAAUGUUGCAGAUUCUACUAACAGAAACCAUCAAAAUUUGCAAACUACAAUAUAGAUAUUAAAGUUUUUAAGUUCACUAAUUAUAUUAAAGUUUUUAACGUCAUUAAUUGAGAAAAGAAGAGGUUAAUGGGAGCGUGAAUUUUUUAAUUCAAACAUAUGGAAAGAAAGUUAGAUAUAAGGUGAAACAUGGUAAGAAUAUCCACUAACAUGUACACACCAAUUAACAUAAAAUACUUGUAAUUUAAUUUAUAAUUGACAAAGAAGUGGUAAAAUGAGGGAAAAGGACAUAUUUUGCCAAUUAGGACAUGACUAGGAAUUGAUCUAACAUUCUCAUCAGCCUUUACAUGCCAUUUAAAAACAUUAAUUGAGACAGAAAAAAAGGAAGGACAAAUAGGUAAAUGGUUUGCGUCUGAAAGCAUUAAGCCGGGCAUUUGGCUUAACCCAUUGAGUCAUUUUCUCAAAUGAAUGUACAUAUUAACUCUUUAAACCGUUAAGCCAAUUAAGUCUUAAGAAACAACCCCUAUGUCUUGUUCCAAUUAAGUCUAUUAACUUAAAAAAGAAAGCAAAAAUAAGAUUGAAAUGUUGCUAAAAAAAGAUUUUCUCCUUAAUACGACGAUCAAGUUACUUUCCAUGUAAAAAAAAUUGGCAGAACAUCAAGAAAUAGUCAUUUUUUCGUAAAAUAAAAAAAAAAAGAUAAAACAGGGAUUAGAUGGCAUACAAAAUGAAAAAAAAGUAUCUUGUUACAAUCUAAGAGCAAUAAAAGGCUUGCUUUUCUCAUUUCAUGAAACAAUUAUUUUAUUGACUCGAGUUGUUGUGUAAGCCUAUAAGGAUGUAAAUAGCAUUUUUUUUAUAAGAAUCACAUCAAGGAAGUUAAUACUAAUAUUACAUGUAUCCUAUCUAUAGUAUAUGAUGUGGGUAUUAGUGAAUCAUUGAUAAACAAACAACUGUCAUAAAUAAAACUCCAAAUAAAAAACCUUCUAGCAUUAAAUAAAUCCUUGAGUUCAUGAUGAAAUAUUUUAAUCUUCUUAACAAAUGCUUCAUUGUAUUCACCAGAAUUCUAAGGUAUUCUUUCAAGCGUUGCAAAGUAACUGAUAUUUCUAACUAAAUUAAUACCUCAGAUAUUCCAUAAAAGAAUGAAGCAAACCUGGUGGAUAAUAUCACUCAUUACCUACUUAUACUCACUUAUACUCUUCCAUGGAGACAUACUUAACAAUAAAAACUUCCGAUUCCUGAAAAAAAAUGACCACAUGCUUAGAUUUUUGUAACAACUUCAUUAAAUUUUGGUUCCCAAAUUAGAAAAAUAUUCGAGUUAUCCAUCACCUUAAGAGUAUAAUGCUCCAGGGGAACUAAGGAUACUGAUGUCAUAAGAUAAACAUUGUCAAAUUCAUUCUUUUGGAGAAACUGAUAAAAAAAUAUGCGGUAAAAUUCGAUCCAUGUAACUUUCAAAACGUUUUCGAUAAUCUGGAAUGAGAUAUGAAAGUUUUGUGAGUGCUCAGUUCUAAGUAUUUUUUUCCCCCAAUUUCCAUGCUAUUGGUAGAAGUCUAUACAUAAAGGAAAAUGAUUUGUCACAAAAAAAGGAUAGAAGCAACAAAGGAAUCUAUGCAAAAAUAAUUUAGUUACAAUACCUCAUUAUCAUUUUUAAUGCUAACAAUAGUGGUAUAUUGAUAAAUAGAAAAUUAAGAUAAAAAUAAACCACAAAUUUUUCUCUAAUGCAUUUCAUUGAGUAUGUGGCAGAAAAACUUGAAGUGAAUUUGAAACAACAUGUGUGCCAUGGUUAGGAAGAGUACAACAAUUAUUUCCUAAUAGGAAAUUGUCGGAUAGUAACUCUGGUACCUACUAUAUGAAUUGAAAAAUAACAAAAGUUGAACAAUGCGUGUCUUGUUUGAUUUCGAUUAAUUUUUGAUAAAAAUGCAACAUACCGGAAAGGGGUUUAGUUGUUGGGUAUGACGAUGGACCUUUGAAGAUGGCCAUUGUUAGCGUCACCAGCUCCACAGUUAGCCACCAGUGUUUUAUAGAGUUUUCAAUCGUUGCGAUAGUCGAUAGGUUCGUUUUAAGAGAGAUAAAGCGAGUAGAUUAAUGCCAAUCCCAUUAGGCAGACUUCCAUUUGUUGUAGACUUGGUGGAGGCGACUGCAACCACCGUUGACGGCGUUUGGCUGGUGCGACAGAUGGGAGAACGGUUGAUACGUCGCCGAAGGAGAGGUUGGGGUGGAAAGUAUUUUGAAAAAAUGUUCAAGGAGUGAGACUGUGAACGAUAUUUAUGGUAUUGGGUGAUACAGGCGGUGGAUCCUUUGUUGUAUUCUUCGUAUCGAAACGGUGGCAGGUGGGAGAGAAACGGUGAUGAAGAUAGAUAAUCGGUGACAAUAUUCAAACGAAACACGUAUCAGGUUGAUCUCCAGAGGUCAACACGUGUACAAUGAGGGUCUCCGAUCAAAGGGGUGGGCGGUGGGUUGUCUGAGGAGAUAACACGUAAACAAAAAAAGAGAUUAAAUAAAAAAAUCAACCAAUACAAAGAAGUUGCUGCUCUAAAAGAAUCAAACUUUUCAUGUAUGAUUAAUUCUGGACUAAUCAUUUUAGUUAUUUUAAGAAAGUAAUUAAUGUAUAUUAAAUGCUGAAGAUGUGAUUAAUAUCCAUUAUAUCUUCAACAUGUAAUAUGCAUUAAUUACUUUUUUAAAAUAACUAAAAUGAUUGGUCCAAAAUCAAUCAUACAUGCAUACAAUAGAUAGUGAAAACAAAAUAACCUAACCCUAUAUAUAUAUAUAUAUAUAUAUAUAUAUAUAUAUAUAUNUAUAUAUAUAUAUAUGGGUGAGAUCCGUUGAGAACUCAUAGUUUUCCGAGAACCUGAUAACUAAAGGUGGAACGUUGGAUUAAAAUUAAGUCAUUAAGGACAUGAUCGUCAUCAUACAAAUCCCAUUUAAUCAUUUGUAUUAUUGGAAAUAUUAAUAAAAAGCUCUCAAAUUAACAUUAAAAAACAAAUUUCCAGAUUUUUUUAUAAAAAAAAAAAAUUAUGUUUUUUUAUUGCAGAUUUUUUAAUUUUUUUUAGAAAGCAUAAAUUUAAAAAAAAAAAAAAAGUUGAAUUUUUUUUUUAAAAACUGCAUUUUUUUAAGAAACAUAAAAUUUUUAAAACUUAGUAAAGUUAUAAAAAAAAAACUUGAAUAUUUAAAAAAAAAAACCAAAAAAAUCAAUGUUUUAGGAGUAUAUAUACAUAUUUUUUCAAGUACAUGUAUACAUAUUUCUGAUGGGUUUGAGCCACAAGAACUUUCCUAUGUGCACAUGCAAACCCUAAUUGCUUGGAUCUAGGUUUCUCUAAUUGAACAUGCAUUGUAUCCAAGACUUUCAAUACUAGAUCUAAUGUAAACAAUUGAUUCUAAUCAUAUGAAUUAGGAUCUAGAACAAUACCUUGGAUUACUUGCUUGAUACUUCUUCUUCUUGGAGCUUAGAGUCACAAUUGUCACUCCUCUAAUGGCUUACAAACACCAACUAGCAAGAAGAUGAUUUGAGAGAGGGAGAGAGGUGAGAAAUCGGCUCUAGGGUUUCCUCAAAGAUAGAGUGUCCGAUUUCUCCAACCCUAAGGGUCUAUUUAUACUAUGAGCUCCUAGGGUUUCACCUUAAACCCUAAUUGGAUAACUUAGCAUCAAAGCAAUCCAAAGAUCCUUCUAGAUAAGGCCUUGGAUGAUUUUUAAGAUAUCCAUAUCCUUAAAAUCGUCCCUUCCCAUAUCCAUAAGGAUUCAUAGCCCUAAACACAACUAUCACACAUUUGACAGUUUAUGCCCCUUUAUUCAAUUAAUCUCUUUAAGUCACCAAAUUAAUUCCUAAUUAAUUUAUGACUUAUAUCAAUCAAAUAAUAUUAUUAUUCCUUUAACAUAUUAUUCUUAUAAUACAUUAAUAAUAAUAAUAUCUCUUCUCUCUAUAUAAAUCACCUUGUCAAGUUGCUAUGGUGAAGGCAACUCAAAACGACCAUGCACAACCGGGUCAAGUACUUACCAAAUAUAGUUACAGCCUUAGACACUAAUCCAAUAGUCACCCACUUGGAUAAGUCUAGUAACUAUAUAUGCAAAAACAAUCUGAUUAGUAAUCGUAGCUCUCAGAUACGCUGUCAAACUCUGAUCUUAUCAGUAUCCUGUCCUUUAGAUAAGGGAUCGUAUAGUCCUCUGUUUAGAUAUUAUGCGGGCAAUCUUAUGGAACUUAUUGUCCAACAAUUGGUUUCUCGAUCUUAGAUUCAUUUGACAUAGAACUUAAUUGAACACAUCAAUUCAGUCCUGACCGGGCCCGACACAUAUGUCAAAUCAAAUCAUCGAGGGGCCCUGAUAUCGCUUUUACCCUCUUAGGAUAAAAGUAACAGAUAAACUUCGACUUAUAUGCAUUUACUAUUUACUAAUCAAUCAUACACAACAAUGCGUUUUAUGACAUCAAUUUACUGAUGCGGUUUCACAUUAUCAAUGCACAACCAAUUAAUAAACAAUAAACCAUAUAUCUUGGUUUUAAGACCAUAUGAUAUUAUCGUCUUGCGAUCACUUGUGUCUCAUUCCAAAAAGUGAUUCCAGCAAGCGCGGGUUUAUUCCAAUGCUUAAAACUUAUUCAUAAGCACUCAUGAACGUUGCUGCAAACUUUUUCUAUAUCUAAUACCUUUUAGACAAUCUUCACACCAAUUCACAACAAUCUUCAUUCAUACCUACUCCCAACAUAUGAACGAUUGUGGACCAUUUGAAUAAUUCGAUUAUUCUUAAUAACUCAAUUAUUCAGGAAGUCAAAACAUGCAAAAUGAAACAAUAGUUAAGCAAUUAACAUAAGACUGUAGCUUUACUCAUAAAUUAUACUCCUUUAUUUAGUCAUCAAAUGUCAAUUACAUUUAUUUAUUACAAGUUUCCAAACUAUCUAAUCUAAACUAAUAUCAUCCUUCAGCCCAAUACUCCUAGCAUGCUGCAAGUGCUUAACCCUGCUUAGUCCCUUCGUAAGCGGAUUUGCUGGGUUAUCUUCUGAUGAUAUCCUCUUAACCACGAGGCGUCCUUCUACUCGAUGUCUAAUAAAGUGAUAUUUUAUGUCGAUAUGCCGAGAUCUACCAUGAUCCCUCGGUUCCUUGGUCAAGGCAACCGCUCCUUCAUUAUCAUAGAAAAUUUCCAUAGGCUCCUUUAUGGCAGGCACAACUCCAAGGUCACCAAUGAAGUUCUUCAGCCAUAUCACCUCCUUUGACGCUUCGCUCGCUGCAAUAUACUCUGAUUCACACGUUGAAUCAACUACAGUUUCCUGCUUGGAACUUUUCCAAGUUACUGCUCCUCCAUUAAGGGUAAAGACCCAGCCUGAAUGCGAAUGGUAGUUGUCCCUGUCGGUCUAGAAACUGGCGUCACUAUACCCUCGCACCUUUAAGUCAUCACUCCUUCCGAGGACUAGAGACCAUUCCUUGGUCCUCCGAAGGUACUUAAGGAUAUUCUUAACCGCAAUCCAAUAAGAUCUGCCAGGGUUCCCUUGAUAUGUACUGACCAUGCUCAAAGCAAAGGCCACAUCAGGGCGAGUACAAGUCAUAGCGUACAUGAUUGAGCCAACUACAGAAGCAUAGGGUACUCGGCUCGUCUCAGCUAUCUCGACUUCUGUACUCGGACUUUGAGUCUUACUCAAUUUGUCAUUACUCUGUAUCAGUAGUUCUCCCUUCUUCGAUUUUUGCAUACAAAACUGUUGUAGUACUUUAUCCAAGUAAGUAUUCUGACUAAGUCCUAUUAGUCUCUUACUUCGUUCUCUCACUAUCCUUAUUCCCAAAUUAUAGGAAGCCUCUCCAAGGUCCUUCAUAGCGAAGCACUUCCCGAGCCACGACUUAACCUUCUGCAUAGUCGGGAUGUCGUUUCCUAUGAGCAGUAUGUCAUCGACAUACAAGACGAGGAAGCUAACUAUACUCCCACUAGCCUUGACAUAUACACAUGAUGUGUAACAACUCGAACUCCAGGUUAGCUUUAUGGCCCUUCUAUUUUGAUGAGUUGGCAUUUUAGUACCUUGAAGUUGAAAAGAUGAUUUGGAGAGUACGCUGGGCGUACUGGGGAGUACGCCGCGUGUACUCAUGCGCUUAAUUCAUACGCGUGUUCAUCCGGGUACACUGGGCGUACCCAAGGUUACGCCGGGCGUAACCGGCCCAAAUGCAAAACCCUAAUUUGUGGCCUUGCACUAUAAAAAGAACAUGUAGUCCUUUUCCCUAGCCACCAUGCACCCUUGAGAGAACCCUUAGAGAGCUGAGAUUCGUGCUUUAGCUGGUGUGUGAGUUUUUGAGCUUGAAGUUGUCUUUGCAAGGUGAAGAAGGAGAAGAGGAAGCCAUUGUUGGAGCUAGAAGUUGAAGAACGAGUAUAGAUCUGAGUUCUUCGGUGGUUGGAGAUCCUUCCUGAGGUAAAAAGCUCAAAGCUUUCCUUGUUCUUCAUAAGCUUUGCUUGUUGGACCAUUUGUUAGGGUUUUGGUUCAAAGUUGGAGACUUAUCCAUGAGUUUGGAUCUGAUGUUUUCUAAUGUAAAAUGUAUUGAGGAGUCAUAAAAAUCGAGUCUUGGACGUGGAUCUUGUGGCAUGCAUGAGUUAUAGUCACAUUAUGGAAAGAGGAAGGGUGUUUUGAGCACAAAGUGAUCUUUACAGCCAUGCAAAGGCUUAAAGGUUCCAACUUUAUGGUUUAAGACGUAUUAGAGGGGUCAGAUCUGAAGUUUGGAUGCAAGUCUUAACCGUUUAAGACCCGAAUAAGCUGAACAAAGAAAUUGGCCAUUACGCUGGGCAUAAUCCCAGUACGCGCCGCGUAAGGGGUUGCGUACCUUAUUUCUAGAAGCAAGAGUACGCCCCGCGUAGAGGAGCUGGUAUGCCCCACGUACUGCUUGCUGUUGACUUUUGUUGACUUUUAGGGUUUUAGUCAACAUGUGGACUUUUGGGGUCAGGGAGGGGUAAAAUAGUCUUUUACCCUUCUAUGGAAUUUAGAAGGAAUAUGGUAUAGCCUUGCGAGCCGUUAUUGAUUUAGAAUGAUUCUUUGAUGUGAUUAGGUGAGGCUAGGUCAAGGUUACGAGAUUCAGAAAUAUCGAGCACGUGAGACUUAGACAUCAUACGAGGUGAGUCUUCUCACUAUACUGUACCUGGAAGGGUAUCUAUGUGUGACCGGAAGGUCUGGUAUGCUAUAAGAUAUAUGCAUUAUAUGUGAAGUUGCCUGUUUUGUAUGCGUUAUGUAUGCUAUGCUUGAUAUGGGCCGGAAGGCAAUAUGUUAUGGGCCGAAAGGCAUCAUGCUGUGGACCGGAAGGUCAAGGAUUUAUGGACCGGAAGGUCGACACAGGUGGGACCGGAAGGUUUACCGGGUCGGGACGGAAGUUCCCUGAGACACAUGGACCGGAAGGUCAUGGCCUGGAAGGGCGUAUGUGUGUAAGUGGUAUAUUGGGGAACUCACUAAGCAUUUAUGCUUACAAUUGUUGUGUUAUGUGUUUCAGGUACUAGCAAGGACCGUGGGAAGGCGCCGACAUGACUCGUACACACACACGCAGUCGGAUUUGGAUUUGUUUGUUCUUGGGGUUGUUGAGUCUAUUGGGUUGCGUCAUGGCUCAGUCCAUAGCCUAGUUUGAAUGCCGGUAUUGGGCCUAUCCAGACGUGCAUAAUUUUGUAUUAGGGUUUAGUAUAUAAGUUGCAUGCAUGCAGACUUAGAACUCAUCGCUUUCAUUGUUUUUGUUUCAUAUCUUCUGUAAACCCUAGCUCGCCUCUGCAACGGAAGUUCCUCAUCGAGCUCUGCUGAGGCGUGACUCAGUUUUGAAUCAUAAGCAUAAGUUUGAUUAUGUUCUGUGUUCAUUCUCAUAUUGAUCUUAAACUGUUUGAUUACUUUUGUUACACUUGUGAAAGAUCUAUUCGAUCUAAGAGUUUUAAACUCAUCAAUUGGUAUAAGAGCAGGAGAUUGUGUAAUCCAUACACACCUCUUCUGUCGAAGAAGUUCAUAGGGUUUUAAUUCCGCAUUGAUUGAUAUUUAUUGAGCCUUCACUCUUUAUUGACGUAUCUCAUUAAUUGUUAAUCUAACCCUAACGAAAUAUUACAAGUCUGAUCUUUUACAGGUUAUCGAUCAAAAGUAUUUACAAUGUCCAUGGACGAUUCAAAAACCAAUCCGAUCAAUAUCUCCAACAACAUAGGGUCUACAACAAGAAUACCAAUCUUGUAUACACAAGACUAUGAAGUUUGGAUGCAUCACUUUGAAGACUACGUGAUUGGAUCGGAGGACAAUGGGUAUCUAAUCUGGGAAGCAAUCACUACAGGCCCAUUCGCUCACUCAAGCACAUCAAAGAUUGUUAAAACACAGAAAGAAUACAAUCAACUUGUCAAUGACAUCAAAGACAUUCCUCAGGAUGAAAACGAGAAGUUUCAAUGCAACAUCAAAGCUCUGAGGAUGAUAAGGUUUGCGCUGCAAUUGGAUAUGUUUCAUUUAGUGAGUUCUUGUGCUACAGCUAAGGAGAUCUGGGAUAGAUUGAAGGAAUUAUAUUCCACAGAUGAAGAUCUGGAACACUCUAUCCAAAGUCUCUUGUUAUCUGAGUUUGGUGACUUUAAGUAGAAGCCUGAAGAAAAACUUGUUCAAAUUUUUGAUCGCUUCAAUCAUCUUUUGAGUAAGAUGAUAAAGCAUGGAAUUGAAAGAAAGGUAAUUGAACAAAAGGUCACUUUCAUGAAUGGCCUCAAACCUGAAUGGAUGGCUAUUGUGUCAACCGUCAAAGCUCAUGAACAGUUCAAGUCCUACUCUCUUGCAAAACUGGUGGGUAUUUUCAAAUCCCAUGAGAAUGCUUUAUCAAAGGAAAUGAAUGUGGUCUCGGGUCUGGUUUCUUUAGCUCUUGUCUCCAAAAGAAAGAGUUCGGUUGAAGAAGAAGAGGAAUUAGAUCUGGCAGAUUUUGAUCUAACCGGCGAAGAAUACGCCAUGAUGGUGUCAAAUCCCAGAAAAUUCAUUAAGAAGAAAUUCCCAUCCAACAAGAACCGAAACUGGCAGGGAAGUUAUAGCGCCGAAAGGAUAAAGGAGGAACCGAAGAUGGGUUCAAAGUCCGAAGAGUCAAAGAAGGAAGCUAAAGUUGGAGGAGACUCAGGAUUCGACUAUCAUUACUGUGGAGGCAAAAAUCAUUUUUCUAAACACUGUAUGUUGAGAAAGAAAGAAGAAAAGACAAACGAAGAAGAUGAGGAAGCGAGCCUCCUGAGAAGGUUGGAGGAAAUAAAGAAAAGAAAGUCUGCUGUUAAUAACUCUACCAUGAAUGCCUUGAUUGUGCAGGGUACAAAUAACAGUGAUGAGUUCGGUGGUGUGGAGUUCUGGUCCACAGAUUCUGAGGAUGAUGAAGUAAGGAAGCCUACUCACGGAAAAGCUAUGCUGGCAAAAGCAUAACAGGCAACGGGGAGAUGCUUUGCAGUGACCGAGGGUGUGUCCCAAAUGAUAGGAUACACAACUGAUGGGGGAGUUGAAGAAGAAAGAGAGCGAGAGGACAAAUGUUUUGCUACCAAGCCUGUUAGUGCUCAGAUCAACAAAUGUGAUGAGUUAAUCAAAAAGGUACAAAAUAUUCUUGCUUCUCUAAAAAUACCUGCUAAUAAUUAUGAAAAGGAAUUAAAUAAUUUAAAGUCAAAAUUCUUAAGCAUAAGUAGCAGUCUCACCCAAAUCCGUGUCAGAAAUUCUAACCUAACUGAUCAAAUCAGCAAGAUUUCUUCAAAGAGUGAGGAAUGAAGAAUGUGGAUCGAGCAGAAGGAAAAGGAGUUAAUUAGAUCUAAAGAUGAUUAUAUAUAUUUACAGAGAGACAAUCUUAAACUUCUUAAACAGAGAAAUGUUUUUUGUUUAAAUGCUUAGAGACUCUAUUUUAACAUCACUCAGUUGCAUCUUGAUUGAGAAAUAGGGAAAAAGAUACAUCGUAUGAUUUUACCUUUCCUUGAAUUAAAGGAGGAUGAAAUCGAUGCUGAAGCCUACAAUUGUGAAAGUGUUGUGUCUUCUGACGAAGUGUCUCCAGUGUAUAAAAUAGGUCUGGACAAAAUUAAAUCCUACAUAAAGUCCAAGGACCACAAGGACAUGCUCAAAAAUCUGUUAGAUGAAAAUGAUAGAUUGAAAUUGAGAGCCGAAACUAUACAAAAUUUUGACUCCUUGAAUGCCAAUUUAAGUUCAGAAAACAAAUUUGAUGUUGAAAAUACAUCUGAACUUAAUAAGGAUGAUGAUAUGAGUGAAAUUUCUAUAGAAGAUUUGGUAGAUUGUUCGGAAUUAGCCAAAAACGUACCUAAGUCCCAUAAGAACCUAAUUUCUGAAAACUCUGUUGAGUUUGCUCGUUCCUCUACCGACAAGUCCAAAGUUCUCAAAGCUAAAGCUGUUGUGUAACAAAAAGUUCAAACUACUCCAAACCAAGUCUACACAGUACCGGGAAUCACUCCACAACAAACUGCAGAGUUAGCUGCUAUGGUAAAAAAAGACAAUGCUGGUGGAUGUGAUGAAUUCUUCUGGUCGGCCCCAAUAGACAACGCAGACGAGACGAAGGGUCUUUCUCAGAAAACCUCAUGGAGAGUGAAAGGUAGAUACAGACCUGAACCACUAAAUGAGCCUACAAAGUACGAUGUGCCGAGCAUAGGUGGAACUAAACCCUCUUUGGACGAAGCGAUGCAAACCACGAGUGAUACUUCUUCAACAAAGAGUGAAUGUUGUGCUCAUGCUUCUAAAAGAAAGGCUAACAUUCAUAGAAAUCCAAAACAGGUGGCUGAUCGAAAGCAUCAAAGAAAUCUGAGAUAUAAGAAGAAUCUCUCCGAAAGAAAGCGAUUUCGGAACUCUCAGAAUCCUGAUUUUGUAAGGAUUGAAAGGAAGUCUAAAUUAGAAGAAAACUCAAGUAACCAGAAGAACAGUUACGUUUCUCAUCACAAUACCAACCGAAAGGAAGGUUUCGGUCCUUCAACAGAUAGGAACCAAAAGGGUAGUUUCGGUCCCUCGACUGAAAACAACCGAAAGGGUAGUUGCGGUCCAUCAUCCAUCAACAACCAAACGAGCGGUUUCGGUCCCUCAUCCUACUACAACCGAAAGAGCAGUUUCGGUCCCUCAUCCUACAACAACCGAGAUGAGAGUUUCGGUCCCUCAUCCCAUGGCAAACGAAAGAGCAGUUUCGGUCCCUCAACCUACAACAACCGAAAGGAGAGUUUCGGUCCCUCAUCCUACAACAACCGAAACGAGAGUUUCGGUCCCUCAUCCCAUGGCAAACAAAAUAGCAAUUUCGGUCCUCAUGCCUGCAAGUCUGAUCAACAAAACUGGGAAUCUAAUGUCUCUUCUAAAUCUAGUUCUCUAAAUCCCAGUUCCUCAGUCAAAAACCCCAGUCCUCCUAAAUCAACAAAAAUUAAAGUUUUCACCAUUAAAAGAAAUGAUGAAACAACUUUGAUUAAAUGUACAUAUAUGGUUGAUAUUUCUCUUACUAUUCCCUGUCCUGUAAAAGGCUCACAAGGACCCAAGAAACUUUGGGUUCCUAAAUCUGCUUAAUAUUUUGUAGGUUAUUUAUGACGAGCAGUUUGACGAAGAAUGGUACAUCGAUAGUGGCUGCUCGCGUCACAUGACAGGAAGGAAGGAGGAACUAAGAGAGUUUCGUUCUCUUAGAGAUGGGGGUAUUGUAAAAUAUGGCAACAACUCUUUUGGAACUAUCAAAGGCUAUAGAAUGAUAACUAAUGGCGAGUUCUCCAUAAGGAAGUUUGCAUAUGUUGAAGGGCUCCAACACAAUCUCAUUAGCGUAUCACAGCUGGUGCUUGGUACCGGAUUAAAAGUAUCAUUCGACGAUGAAGGCUCUGAAAUUGUCGAAAAGAGCUCAAACAACAUUCUGUUGAAAUCAAAGCGAAAAGGGGAAAUGUAUCCUUUGAAUCUCAAUCCUAUAAUAGGUAAACCAGCAGUAUGUUUACUCACAAAGGCUCACUCCGAUGAAAGCUGGUUAUGGCAUAGAAGACUCUCUCAUCUGAACUUCAAGGACAUCAACAAGUUGGUCUUAGGUGAUCACGUUCGAGGUCUACCAGUUCUAAAAUUCGAUAAAGAACAUCUCUGUGCAACAUGUGAAAUGGGAAAGCAGAGUCGACAGCGUCAUCCUUCUAUUAUCAAUACUAAGGUGAUAGAACCAGUGGAAUUACUGCACAUUGAUCUAUGUGGUCCUUCGUCCAUCAAAAGCGUUGGGGGAAAAAAUACAUUCUGGUUAUUGUGGACAAUUUCUCGAGGUUUACAUGGAUUUUCUUUUUCAAGCAAAAGUCUGAAGCUACUCAAAGCUCAAGCUCUUCAUUAAACAGAUCGAGAUGCAACUAAGAAAGAUAGUUCGUAAUAUAAGGAGCGACAAUAGCCUGGAAUUCAAGAACAAACACUUUGAAGGUUUUCUUGCUGAAAAAGGGACGACUCACAAUUUCUCAGAUCCCUAUACUCCGCAGCAAAAUGGCAUUAUUGAAAGGAGAAAUAGGUCACUAUGUGAAGCUGCUCGUACCAUGUUAUACUUCGUGUCCCUGCCAUUGUAUUUCUGGGCUGAUGUAAUUGCGGCUGCAUGUUAUACUCAUAAUCGAUCAUAUUUGAAUAAACGGUUCUCAAUUACUCCUUACAAGAUCCUGAACAAUCGAAAACCAAACGUGAAAUUCUUUCAUGUGUUCGGUUCCAGAUGUUUCAUUUUCAACUCCAAAGAGAAUCGAAACAAGUUCGAUGUCAAGGAAGAUGAAGGAAUUUUCUUAGGCUACUCCCUGAACUCCAAGGCGUAUAGACUUCUCAAUAAACGCUUGAAGAAAAUUGAAGAAACAUACUAUGUCACUUUUGACGAUAGUUAUGUUAAGAAGUUGAAACCAACAGAAGAUGCAUCACAAGACAUAUUUCCAAAGAAUGGUCAGGUUACUAUCUCCAUCUCGAAUCUUUUCGACCAACUCAUGCUCUUGUUUGAUGAGCCUCAUAUGGCGAUUGACUCUGAAUCAACUGCAAAAGACAACAAAGUUGAUAAUCUAAAACAAGUUGUAGACGAUGCUGCUAAGAAGAUGGCUGAAGAUCAAUCCAAAGACACCAAAGGCGCAACGCAACCGAACCUUCUGGUGACCAUCCUACUGUCCAGGGGGGAGGGUUCCUCUACUCAUCAUGAUCAAGGUCCUUCAUUCCAGGGGGAGAACUCAUUGCCAAAUACAUAUAGCUCUACUGAAAUUCCAGCCAAUGAAGGAGAUACAAAUGCUAGUCCUGAACAGGACUUAUUCUUCGAGGGGGAGAACACCAAUGUUGGUGAUGAUGACACCAUGUCUGAACUAGAGGAAGAAAUCCAUGCUGAACUGGAUCCUAUUUAUGAUCCAAAGUUUCCUCCACUUAUCAAAUGGACCAAAGAUCAUCCUCAAACUCAAAUUAUUGGGAAAUCCUCAGAAAAAGUGUUAACUCGCUCUCAAAUUAAAGCGAAACAGGCCGCACUUUUUGCAAAAGUAGAGUUCUGCAUGUUCAAUUCAUUCGUUUCUAAAAUUGAACCAAAGACUGUUAACUCAGCUCUUGAUCAUUCAGACUGGGUUCAAUCCAUGCAGGAUGAGUUAAAUGAGUUUGAACGAAACAAGGUAUGGCAUCUUAUACCAACUCCAAAGGAUGCUUCGGUUAUAGGUCUCAAAUGGGUAUUUAGAAACAAGAUGGACAAAGAAGUGAAUGUCAUUCGUAACAAAGCAAGACUGGUGGUCAAUGGAUAUUGUGAGGAAGAAGGAAUUGAUUAUGAAGAAACCUUCGCUCCCGUGGCAAGAUUGGAAUCUAUUCAUAUUUUUCUUGCAUACGCUGCUCACAAGAACUUUGAAGUCUAUCAAAUGGACGUCAAAUGUGCUUUCCUCAACGGUGAACUUGAAGAAACCGUAUAUGUGGAGCAACCGCCAGGAUUCGUGAACAAGAAGUAUCCUGAUCAUUGCUAUAUCCUUGACAAAGCUAUCUAUGGCCUCAAACAAGCUCCCAGAGCCUAGUAUGAAACUCUCACACGCUUCUUAAAAAUGUCUAAAUUCAAACAAGGUUCAGUUGACCCAACCUUCUUUCGUAAGCAAAAAGGUAACCACCUUAUGAUAGUCCAAAUUUAUGUUGAUGACAUCAUCUUUGGCUCCACGAAUCCUAGCUUAACAGCUGAAUUUAGAAAGUUGAUGGAAACCAAAUUUGAGAUGAGCUCAAUGGGUCCAAUUAACUUUUUUCUUGGAUUGAACAUUAGAUAGGGACCCGAAGGCAUCUUUAUUAAUCAGGAAGCAUAUACCAAGACUCUGAUAACCAAGUUUGGAAUGAUGGGAGAUUCUAAAGUGAAAGUACCUAUGGCUUUUGGAACUAAACUCACACCAUCAUUUGAGAAACCAGCAACUGAUACAACACUCUAUCGACAGAUGAUUGGUUCUCUGAUGUAUCUCACAGCCAGUAGACCUGACAUCAUGUUCUCUGUCUAUUACUAUGCACGAUUUCAAGCCAACCCACGAGAACCUCAUCUUUAAGUCAUGAAGAACAUCUUUUGCUAUCUGAAGCGAACUUCCUCUCUCGGCCUAUGAUAUCCAGUCAACUCAGGAUUCUUCGUUCAAGCAUUUUCAGAUGCUGAUCUGGGUGGCUGUGGAUUGGAUCGUAAAAGCACCAUAGGAGGAUGUUAAUUUCUUGAUGGUAAAUUAGUCAGUUGGUGUAACGCCUGUGUUUCCGGGCUUGCAAUUUUUAGCAAUGUAAUAGUCUAGGUUAACCUUUGUAACCCGUUUUGAAAUAAUAAGAAUGUAUUAUUUGAGUAUUAUGUGUUUUGUGCUUAAUUGCUUAAUUAUGUGGUUUGAUUAAUUAAGAAUAAAAAUAAGCGUCAAAAUUUAAGUGUAAAAUAAACUUAAUAUCUUUGGUUAAUGUUGUAGUAGUUGAAACGAGGUUUCCGAAUAUAUAUAGAACGCCCAAAUCUGACUUCGUAUGAGGAAGUUAUGAUUUAUCGAAGUUUCGACUUAGUGGUAUGCAGCCUGAAAUACUCGAUUUGAGAUCGAGCGGUUUUUAGCCGAAACAAUCUAAAUGAGGAUCGAAGGUCUCGUUGUUGGUAUCGAAGCGAUAAAAAGUUAGGCGAGAACGGACGUCAAACGAAGAAGUUAUGAAUUUAUAACGAAAGUUUCUGUCGCGGCCUAUUAAAAAUAAUUAAUAAAAAUAAAGUCAAAAUUAGCCGACGGAGUCUAAACGAAAGUCGUAGAGCGUGGUCUCACCUUCGCGUGGAUAUAAAGAACGUCGAAAACGGAGUUCGUAUGAAGAAGUUAUGAAUUUCCGAAGUUUAUUAAUCAUUUUAUAUUUUUAUUUAAUUCAAAAUCGGAGGCAUUAUCCGAAGCCGUGUCACCGGUGUAAUCCGGAGUACGCCCCGCGUACGAGGUUACGCUAUCGCGUAACUCCGAUAGUGUCGACACUUCGGAUGACGCAUGCAAUGACGAUUUCGGACGCGUACGCGCUGCGUACGCCUGUACGCCCCGCGUACUCCGAGGUUCCAGCCUCUAUAUAAAGGAUCCGAAGGCAGCCUCAUUUCUUGUUCAUUUUCUUCUCUUCUCUCUAGUCUUUUGCAUCGUUUUUCGUGCCGAAGCUACCCCGAAGCCCCGGUAUCAUACUCUAGCCCCGAGGCAAGUCCCGAGAUCCCGAAGAUCCCGAGAAGCGCGGUUCCCGAGUCGAAGCUCUGCCCGCGAGAAGUUCGAUUUUCGAGGAGAUCUUCCAGAUCUGCUGUGGAUUACUACUUCUAUAAGCCGUAGUGCUGUCGGAUCGUCUUCUGAUCAAGUGAGUGUGUAGUUAUUUCUUCUAAUACAAUAAUACGAAGUAUUUUAUAUAAAAAUACGUGCUAUGUGUAUAUAUUUGGUUGUGUUAUGUGUGAAUGAGUAUUCACUCUCUUCUAUCUUAUAGAUCUGCUUAUUUCUUUAUGAGAUAUGUGUUAUGUGUGUGUGCCUCAUCUGUUAUGUGACAUAUGUGUUGAUUAAAGCAUGCUAUACAGGUUUUCUUUAAACUACGUAUGAAAAUAUAUAUUUUUAUCUACUAAUAUGUUGGGUAGAACAUGGGUAGAUAGUUGGUGUGUAAUAAACAGAUGAGAGGCCUCGAUGUUGUUGUUGUUGUUGAUCUAGUUAUUCAGCGGAGUAUGGAUAACGACCACGGACUCUUUCUAGACAGUCCAGUGGAACGCUAGCAGGUUCAUAACCUGUAGGUGUUGUGAACGAUGUGUUCACCGGUGUACUCUAUCCCCCUCAUGGUUGCCUUUAGGAUAUCUAUUGUUGAGGAAACCCCUUAGCAGUGAUGUCCGUCCCGAUGAAAAUCCUAGAUUAGGUCCCUUGAGAUAGAUGUCGUUUUAGGGACGUAAAGUGAGGAUAACGGGAAUGGGCAAUCGGGAUAGUGAUUGGUUGGUGAAAUUAAAUAUAAUUUAUUUAUUGUGGGUUGAAAACCCUAUAUGCUCACCAGGCUCCCAAGCCUGACCCACUCAGUUUUAUUUGUAUUACAGGAAGUGGCGCAAGGGCAUAAGAUGGAUGAAUCAUCAAGUUGUUUUGUUUACAAGUCUGUAUAUGUAUAUAUUUGUUGAAUGACUUGUAAUGUUAUCGUUUAUGCUUUAUGGUCUGUAUCGGAACAUGACAUCCCGAGUUUUGAUUAUAUAAUGAAAAUGCAUCUCUUGAUGAAAUGCUUUGAUAAAUAUUAUUUUAUCAUGUUUUGUUUUGGGAACAAAUUCCGCAACUCUUUCAAAUCAAAAGGAUUUACUCUGAAAUUAUUUAAAAGCAUAAAUGAAAAUCGGUCUUUUCUGGCCGAGAUUUUAGGGAUGUCACAGUUGGCAAUCAAAGAAACAGACAUGUUUUUCAUUAUCCAUUGCAGAAGCCGAAUAUAUUGCUGCAACAUCCUGUACAUCUCAAGUCGUAUGGAUACAAAGUCAACUCCGGGAUUAUGGGUUAAACAUGAAUAAAACCCCACUAUAUUGUGACUCUGAAAGCGCAAUCAGGAUUUGUCACAACCCAGCGCAACACUCUAAGACUAAGCAUAUAGCACUGAGAUAUCAUUUCAUCAAGGAUCACGUCGAAGACGGUAACGUAGAAAUUCACUUCGUCAGAACGACUGAUCAACUGGCAGACAUAUUCACAAAGGCCUUACCCGAAGCAAGCUUCAAUGAGAUUCUACAAGGCGUAGGAAUGAUGCAAGCUGAGUCUGUACCGAAAUUGUCUUCGCUCUCAUAAAGGUAACAAGCGAAAUAGAGCGAACCGAAAUGAACCGAACGUUCGGUCUAUUUCGGGUGAAGUUCGACCAUGAACCGAAAUGAAUCGAGCGUUCAGUCUAUUUCGGGUUCGGUCCUUCUUAACUCGUUCGUUUUUUAAGGCAUUUCAACUGUUUUCUUGUGUACAACCUUUUCAUUACUUCCUUUCUACUUAUAAAAUUCCAAAAACAUUUUUUUGUUGCUUUCAUAAAAAUUCUUAUAAAAUCCAAAAAUAUUUUUCUUUUUGUUCAAAUACUUCAUUCUCUCAAAACACAAAAAUAUUUUUUAUUUUUAUCUAAUGUUUUUUUGUGUGCGUUUUUCUUUAAGUGUGAUUCUCAAUGGCAAAGCUAAGGUAAGAUAAUGGGUUUAUUAGUUAGGAGUCCCUAGAAGCAUGUUGUUGUGUGUUGACCAAAGCCUCGACUGAUUUUGAGUGAAGCCUUAAUAACAUGAUUUAUACCCAUCAUGUUUUCCCAAUACAAGCUAUAAUAUUCACUCUAAUCUUGAGCUACCUUACUCUGCUCAUAUUGAGUUUUGAGUUUUCUGCUUGGUCCUUCUUUUCUUUAAAGCAGAGGUACAUUCGCUUCUUAUACCAUCUCUAUCAUCUUUCUCCAUUAUAAUUCAUUUCAUCAAUAUAACCCCUCAGACUUUCAGUUUUAACCACUGAGGUUUAUGGUUAUACCAAGUCUGUGUUUAUGAUGUUAGUUUCAUGCCACUAUGUACUAAGUGAAACCCAAAGUUCAACACCACUAAUCAAUUGACGGUUAAUUAAACAAUUCAAGCUCUUACUUGUUACCCAAUGAAAUCGCUUUUUCUUUUGCGUGAUCUUGAUGAGCUUGCCUCUCACUAAGGCUUCUCUAACCCUAAAAGACCCAGUUUAUUUUUUUUUUUUGCGAUUUCCAUUAUUCUCUGGUCACUAUAAAGUUUAUCAUACCUACUUGUUCAUCAGAUCACAAUGAUCUUACAAGUACUUCAUUCAGUUUCGGUCUUAUGUUAAGUAUCGAAAUUAUGAAUUGAAGCGAAAGCCACCCUCUUUAACCUUUAAAAAGAAGCCUUUCAAAACUUCUCAAAAAGUUUUUGAUCGUUAUUCAAUGGGAAACCAAGCAAGCACUUUAAUGUCUCUCUUGACUUUGAAGGAAGCGAUUUUUGCCCAGAAUCAAUUAUUUUAUGUCAGAUUACGACAUCAUAUAUAAUCCCAAAAAACUCGUUUUAUUUCUUUAUCUUUUACACCCUAUGCACGAAAUUUUUUAAUUUUCCAAAUUCUAGUUCUGAUUCAGAUUGAUCAUUAAAGCGCUAAAGGCACAGAGAUUCAAGCGUCAUAAGGAGAAACGAUUGGAAUAAAGUGGACGCUGACUCAGCAGCUAUCCAAACGGUUUGGCGUUUCGAAAAAGUGAGUUUUAUGAAAGGACGUGUAAAAGGGAAACGGUUUUUCUCUCUCCUGCGUCAUCCUCGGCAUGCCAACUGCUCACCCAUCAACUCAGGCGCUAUUUCUGAGAUAAUCCAAGAUUUCAGCCGGAUUUUUCUCUCUCCUCAUUGUACAUAUAAAAGGAAUUGGAACGGUACACUCUCAUCCUUUAUCACUUCCAAAAUUCUCUCAAUGAAACCCGAUGAUUCUCUGAGACUGUUCAUCAUCUUCUCAAAGCUACUAUAAUGGCAGAAUCCUCAUCCGUUCACGAUACCUUAGUUCGUCAACCCCUACUCACUAUUAAAGCCCAACAGAACCUGAUCAUUGAUCUCACUCCAUUCGUAUAUGAGCCCUAUAUGUAGUAUGUGGUUGAGUGUUUCAAAUACUCACCACUCGUCGACGCACUAACAAAAGUUGAAGUUGUUCCUAUGUCGUUCUUGUCUCUUGUCUACUCUACUGCAUUCUACGACAAGGCUAAUGAAAGAAUUCACUUUGAACUUCACGAUGAGAAGAUCUCUAUCUCCAAGAGUUGAUUAUGUGCCCUUAUUGGUCUUUCUCAAGAUCCAUCUCUGGUAAACCCUGAUUCCAUUACCACUGGCCAACUGUUCACUAUGUUCUAUCAGAUGGGGUAUACCAAAACCUAACAACUGUCACCAAAUUCAAGAAGUCCUGCCUUCCGCCUCAAUGGAAUGGCCUUUUCACGCUAUUGUUCAAGGGAUUGUCUGAGAGGAGCGCUGGUUCUGACGGUGCUAGCAAUUCAUUCAUGACGGUGCUGUAUGGGUUGUACAAUGGACUUAACCUCGAUUAUGGGUCCAUUAUUUGGCAGCAAGUGGUUCAAAGCCUGGUUUCUUCAUCCAGGCAUUCUGAGAUUUCAUGUGGGCGUUUCUGGUCUCUCAUCACCAAAUGGGCAAUAGAUCGUCAUCGUGUCCCAAUAAUGGCGGAUUCCUUGCUCUCCUCUAUUGCCACUUUUCACACGACGAAAAUCAUUGUCACUGAUCCAACAACGUUUUCAUUCAUCGGACCUAUUCCUGAAGCUAUGCUAGGUCGUAUUUCAGCAUCGAGUAACGUUCUUCAACAGUAUAGGAAGCGUCCAUCUGUUGGUCCAAGAGAGCUUACGCCGGCAAUGCUUCGUUCCAUUGAAGAGGCUGACAAGCCAGCCAAGAGGGGUAAGAAGCCUAAAACACAGAAGGAGGGACCGCUCACAAAACCAACCAAGGGGCAAACCCCCAUGAAGCGAAAAACUGUUAAAGCUGCUACUUCCCAACCUCAACCCAAAAAGCAGAAGAAGCCCGCUAGGAGACUUAUUCUUCAAUCCUCCAGUGAUUCGGAUUCAGAAUAUGUUCCUCCUAUGCAGAAGAACGCACUUCCUUCAGAAUCUGAGAGCGAAAGCUAUGAUGAAGAGGCUUCGGGCCGAGGGGAUACUCCACCUCGCUCCCCUACUCCAUAAAUUCCAGUUCAUUCUUUUCCUCCUUCACCUCCACCUGUUACCAUUCCAGUUUCUAUCCCUCCUAUCUCUCCAAUAACCACCUCUCAACCUUUCACUACAAUUCCUAUUCCCACUCCCAUUUUCAUAGAUACAACUUCUACCACUACUACAAAACCUACCUUUACUGUUCCUAAUCCACCUGUAACCGAACCUCCUGUAACAACCAAACCUCCACCUUCUUCAAAACCUUUAUCCCCAACACCAUCUACUGAAAUAACCCCUAUUUUAGGCCGUGAGGACUUAGAAUUCGAUUCCACAUAUUUCAGUCCUUAUCGCCUACAGAGUGAGGAUGAUGACGAUGAGCCUAUCACAAAACGACAUCUCAAGGCAGUAAACGACAAGCUUAAUCAACUGCUUUCCUCCUCUUCCUCUGGAGCUUAUUCAGACGCUGCAUUAAAAGCCUUGUUCUCUUUGGUCAUUGCCAAAAAUAGUGCCUCUUUAUCUGCUGCAGCCAAGGCUAUUGAAGCCUCCACUUCCCAAUGUCAACAGGCUUCUCUUGUUGUUGAUGCCUCUACUAAGGAGUGCAAGGAAGCGACCGCAAAAGUCGAUAAACUAGUUUGACAAGCUCACUUGUUUCUAGAUUCCUUGCAGCCUGCUACUGCCAAGAAUGCUGAAACUGUCAACACUUCAGUAAAGAAUCUUCCAAAGACUCUUCAAUCUGAGUGCUCCAACAUUGCAGCAGAACGCCAUGCCAUUGAAGAAGCCAGUGAAUCGCUCCAUGCUAAUGUCAACGAACGCUUAACUCAACUGGAAGCGGACUUAGCUAUGGAAAAUCGGAUUGUGGAUGAGCUCGACAGAUGUACAGCCCAGCUUAAAUUGCAAACACACAAGCUGCGUACUGCUAAUGCUGAGAUUAAUGACCUCAAGUCAGAAAGGGAGGUUAUCCAGAGUUCUGCUACAGAUGUUCACUCCAUCCUUCUUCAUUUUAUUGAGGCUAAUGAUCCGCUUAUCACUAUCACUGUUAGAAGGCAUUUGGCAGACAAGCUCAGACCGGCACUGGACGUUCUUAGCCGUAUCGAGGGUGUUUCGGUGACUGGGGUCCAACCGAAACCAGGGGGAGAGAAAGAGUCAAAGCAACCUCCUCCUUCUAGCUCAAAACCAGCUGCUGAAGCAAAGGGUAAUGAAGCUUCGGUCAGUAACAAAGAUAAAAAGAAGAAAAAGAUUGGUAAAGACGACACAGGCAAUGAAGAUGAUGUCUAUUUCGAGAUUCCCAAGAAGCCUGUCCCGAAGGAUAACACUUCUGAAAUAGAAACAGAAGAAAUCACCAAGAAGCAGCGAGCUGAGCUAGAGCAGAAGCGAAAGGAGGCGGAGCUCCUAGAAAAGAAAAAGUAUGUGUUUCCUGUAUGGACAAAAGACUCGCUUCAGAGGUGUGCAAUCGACGAGCCAACUGUUCUCUGGCUCAAGCCAAUAAUGUCUUUUGGCCGUGACAACUCCAAGGAUGCAUAGUUCGAUAUGUCAAUCACUCGAAAGGCAUUCAUCUUCCACUGCUUCAACUCGACUGUUGCCAUUCCAUCUCUGGACCCGAAGGUAGAUAGGGAUCUUCUGGAGUUUUACUUGGAGUUUGCUCAACCCAAAACCUGACCUGGAGCUCAAAGAAGAUAACUAAAGUCAAGGUGAUGAAGCCCUAUUCAGCAGGGAAAUUUAUUAAUGUCAAAUUCAGGGUGACUCGAGGAACCGAAGGCUCAGUCUACUAUUUUACCCUUGCUGAUCUACCAAACCUCAAUCCCCAUGACUGGAUACUCCUCAACAACAUUCUUUUAUCGAAUCCUCAGGAAUAUCAGCCUAUAAUCGAUCAUGUCAAGCGUAUGCUUGUUUGCUACAUACAUGAGGUAGCGAAAAUGGACCAGGAGAUUGCCUCUGCCAUACACAAGCGACCAACGAUCAAGACGAUGGGCGGAGCUGGCAAUGUCAAUACCAUGAUCAAGGGGAAGAUAGAUUCAAAGUAUCACACGGUUAUGUUUCUUAGGGGCGAAGGUCAAAAAUGUCUGUUCGCUCUUAUUGACAAACACCUCUUCUCGACGACUUGUCUUGAGCAUAUCUUGGAGAUCAAUCAGAGGUGCGACCAGAACAGUGCUGCUGAUAAGAAACUAUUCACUGACAUGCUGAGGUGGUACAUUCAGUUCAGACAGACUCUUCUUGCCAUUAUUCCUCAUCUGUUUAAAGUUAUAAAGACAGUGAGGCCUGCUCAGAAGAAAUAAUCUCUCGCCUCAUUUGACGCAAAGGGGGAGAUUGUUGAGUCUAUUGGGUUGUGUCAUGGGAUCGGUCCGUAGCCUAGUUUGAAUGCCGGUAUUGGGCCUGUCCAGCCGUGCAUAAUUUUGUAUUAGGGUUUAGUAUAUAAGCUGCAUGCAUGCAUACUUAGAAGUCAUCGCUUUUGUAACGUCCCAAAAAUACGAGCCAAAAAUUUCGUUUUUAAAACAUGUACUUAGCAAAACAUUUAGGAACAAUUCAUUCAACAACCAUUUCAUUUCACAAAAGAUGUUGCAUGUCAGAAAACAUUAUCAUAAUCAUAAAAAUGUCAGAGUACAAUUUCCCAGGUAGAUGUCAUAAUGCGGAAUACAAGCAGGUGUGUGUGUGAUGUACCGCUACCGCGCCAGCUCCUUCCCCUUCGACGAAAAGGUACCUGAAACCAAAGCUGAAAACUGUAAGCACGAAGCUUAGUGAGUUCCCACAUAAUACCUCAUACCAUGCAAGCAUACAAUGUACAGCUAGGAGAUACGGGCCUCGCCCACACUCAUGAAGAUACGGGCCUUGCCCACACUCCGCUAGUCGGGAGAUACGGGCCUCGCCCACACUCCACUAUCUGGGAGAUACGGGCCUCGCCCACACUCCACUCUCAGAGAGAUACGGGCCUCGCCCACACUCAGCUACUAACCCAUAAUAUACAAGUAUCACACAGACAACAAGUAUAGACAACUCUAUCAUACUGGCAUAUAUCAUAAUCAACUCAACCAAGAGAUACAGGCUCGACCCACACUCUAAUACUAACAUCUCGUCUAUACGGGCCGGCCUUGGCGCCUUAGACCCGUUACUACUGGAAGGAAACUCACCUCAAAGUCACUGCCGAUCUGUGUGGGAACUGACUAUCUGCUGCUAUUGCCGCUCUGGAAAUCCUCCGGCUAUAAUUCCCACAAAACCCUUAGUUAAAUACUGCUAACCGACUUCAGGGUAAAUUGACCAUUUACCCUUACAAAUCAAGAGUCAAGUCACAGUCAACUGCCAGUUGACCAGACUCGCCGAGUUGGCUUGCCAACUCGCGAAGUCCCUUUCCCCUUAGUCUGACCAUAAAUCCAUCUCUACUCGUCGAGUUAAACGUAGACUCGACGAGUUUUCCUUCUAUACCCAAGGCCAAUAGUCCUUCAUCCUACUCGCCGAGUUGUAUGAACAACUCGCCGAGUUCAUCUUCAUCCGAUGAACACUUUAUGCUAUGACUCGCCGAGUUGUAUGAACAACUCGUCGAUUCUGUUCUUGAUCUAAGAAGGUUGCCUUGAACUUGCCGAGUUAGGGCAUUGACUCGCCGAGUUCCUUCGCGUAUGAGUUCAGCUUCCAACUCACCGAGUCCACCCAAGACUCGCUACUCUACUCGGCAUAAACGAAAAGGGGGAAAACUCGGGGACUCGCGACCCGACUCACUGAGUUCGAUGAGUGACUCGCCGAGUCUGCCACAUGCAAAUACUAUACACUCAAUCUUGAUCGAAUCCAGUCCAUGCCAUUUACAGAUCUGGCUUCUUAGGGCAGGAUUUUCACGUAAAGUUUCCAACUUUAUGUGUAGAAAUGGAUAGAAUGGGGAUUAAAGGCGAAAUAAGGGCUAAGAAGGUAGAUCUAGGACAUUCAAGCAAUUUACUCCCAUAAAGGUUACAGAUCUGAGCUUCUGGAGCUCAAACAUGAGUAGAUCUAGUGGAUAAUCAACCUAUUACGAAUUCUACUUCAUGCACAAGCUUGGAAAAAGGUUCAAGAAGAGCUCAAAAGGUGCUCUAAUGGGUUUUUAAGAAUACAAACAGAAUGGAGUAGAGAUAUACCUCAGAGAACUCUGAAAUAGCACCAAGAUAUCUGGUAUCCUUCUCCUCUUCUUGCUCCACUCUCCUUCUUCUACCAAAAACUUCAUGGAAUCACUCUAAUCACUUCAAUCUCACAAGAAACGAGUUAGGGUUUGAUGUAGGUCGCUCUGAGGGUGAUAGGGGGCGAGCUUGGGCCGCACAAGCUAGCUUAAAUAGGGGGCAAACCCUUGGAAUUAGGGUUUCAUCAGACAGCGGUGACUCGCCGAGUCCGGAAUAUGGACUCGCCGAGUCGCCAACUUAAACACGCUCCGGAUCCCGUCUCUACUCGGCGAGUCGGACCUACAACUCGCCGAGUCCAAGGCUAAAAAUGAAAAACACAAAGAUAAAUUUUACAUACCAGGAACUAGGUGCUACAGCUUUCAUUGUUUUUGUUUCAUAUCUUCUGUAACCCUAGCUCGCCUCUACAGCGGAAGUUCUUCAUCGAGCUCUGCUGAGGCAUGACUCAGUUUUGAAUCAUAAGCAUAAGUUUGAUUAUGUUCUGUGUUCAUUCUCAUAUUGAUCUUAAACUGUUUGAUUACUUUUGUUGCACUUGUGAAAGAUCUAUUCGAUCUAAGAGUUUUAAACUCAUCAGGGAUUUGACAUGUUUUGUAUUAUGAUUAUGAUACAUGGGAUUUUAAUGGUUGGAUUUGGAUGAAAAUAUGUUUUUAAGAAAUGAAAAAUUGUUUUGAAAAAAUCACGUCGUUACAAGUUGGUAUCAGAGCCUUGGUUUGAGGGACUCGGAUGCACCUUUGGGUGUAUGUGAACUCAAACUGAGGAUUUGAGAAAUUUUCAAUAAUAAAAACUUAAAUUUUCUAAAAGAACAAUGAGUUUUGAAACAAACAGAAGCAGAGCAGUGUGUACAGUCAGCCAGCGCUCGAACGAUGAAUUCCCAAGAUACUCUUACAAUAUGUGUUAUGAGAUAUGUUAUGUUAUGUUAUGCAUGCUAGAGUGGGCUAGGUAUUCAUAUUAGGACUAGAGUGACCUGAUUUGUGAUGCCUUAGCCUAGGAGAAUCCUGCUGCUAUGAGAUGCCUUGAGACCGAGUAGGUAGUCAAAUCAUAGCGAGAAUAGAGUACUUGUGAUCCGGGAUCCAGGGAGGAGGACUUGGGGUGAAUGCUGAUGCGGUGUAGUCAGUAGUAUAAGGCCCGUACUACUGAAGACACCGGAUCAGUGAGCAGCCAAGGUAAGAAUCCUUUGGGUAUUGGAGGACGAGUAGGGUUGCGUUAUCGAGUACGAGUAUGCUCGAUCGAGUCUUUGAUAUUUUUAUGUUGUAUUUCAGAGGCAUCAUGGUUGGGAAACAACACACACCUGAGAUCAGUGGGGUUAGUGACGAGGAGAUCCGUCGAUUGAUUCAUGAGGAGGUGGAUGCUGCCAUCCAGGUUGAGAUUCCAGAGAUGUUUGGGGACAUCAAGACCACACUGAUUGAGACCUUCGAUGAGCGGUAUGCAGCAGUGACUGAGACUGCAGCUGCUGCAGCUACCGCAGCUAUUGCUGUUGCCAGACCUCAAGGAGGUGACUCGUUGUUGUUACGGGAGUUCAGCAACACGAAGCCACCAGAAUUCGAUAGGACGUAGGACCCGAUAGCAGCAAUGAGGUGGAUCUCUGACAUUGAGGGGUGUUUUUAUACGUGUUAUUUUCCAGAACACUUGAGGGUGCGGUUCGCUUUGAACCAGCUUCGCUUGGGAGCGAAGGAUUGGUGGAAGUUCGUGACAGCAAGCUUCACUCUGGUUGAGAUUUUUGAGGUGAUCUGGGAUAGGUUCACCGCCAUGUUCAGAGAUGAGUAUGUUCCCCCGGUGGAGAGGGAAUGGUUGGUUCAGGAGUUCUUGACCCUCAAGCAGGGUAAUGAUUCGGUUACUGUGGUUACCCGGAAGUUUCAUGAGAGGGCGAUGUUCUGUCCUGAGCAGGUGUCGACAGAGCAGGCACGGAUGAUCCGGUAUUUGGGCACAGGGCCGGUCCAUUAGUUUUUACUACCCAGGGCGAAAUAAGUUAAUAUUGCCCUUAUGUUUACAACAUAAUUUAUAAUACAAAAUUGCAAUAUAUUUUGUAUUAAAUAUACUAAUAUAAACAAAAAACCCUAGUAAAAUCACUUAAAUACAAUGUUUAAAAUGACUUGUUCCAUAAAUUACACUUAAAUAACUAUGUUUUAAACAAAUUGUUCCAAGCUUCAAAUAAGAAUUAUCAUUUAAAAAAACUUUGACAUAAAUAGAUUCAACAAAGACAAGCAUAUAUGUUAUUAAUUUUUACUAUUUGCAACAUAAUGCCAACUCCUUUUUAUCCUGCCAGAGGUUAUUAAAACACAAAUUCACAUUCAAGCUUUCUAAUUUACAUCACAAGCUAUCGUUCAAAACAAAAUUUCAUUAUACCAUGAAUUUGUGUCAAAAACCACAUCAAACUCAUGGAAACACACAACCUUCAAUUCAGACUCUAAAACAUAUUGAAUCAUUGGGUGAGAGAAACAUCUUCACCAAUGCACACAAAAGCAAUGUAAUUUGGAACUGAGACUAACAUUAGCAUUAAACUUUUGAGUUUUUACUUUUGAACUUUUAAACUUUGUUUCCUGCCUCAAAUAUAUAAUAUGCAAACCUAUAUGGAGAAUUUAUGAUGUGUAUAAUCUCGCACAGUGAACAGUUAUUGUUGGUUUGUAUAGAGCUUCAAAUCAUUUAUGUACAUCCUUGAAGUCUAUAUGAACAAUUCUAAAAAUAACUAAACAAUUAUAAUUUAAAUCCUUAAAACAGAUUAAUAACUAAACAAUUACAAAUUAAUGUUAAGCAAUCAAAGGGUUAAAACCUUGAAGGUAACUAAACAUUCAAGUAAUCUACGGCAAAGUCAAAAGAAGAGCAUACUAAAGAUAAACAAUUGAAAACUCAAACAGUAAAUGUGACUAAACAGAUACAAAUUUAACUUUUUGUGCUACAGCCAAGCUAAUGUAUUCCAACAGGGCAUCAAAUAUUUUCAUUCGAAUCCAAAUGUGUUUUUGCGAUAAAAAGUAACCAUUAUCUCUAAAAGUCCGAAUACAAAUUUGAACUUAGUUUUGCCCAAUCCCAUAAUAACUAAAGAUAGGAAGAUAACCUCUAACUUAACUCUAAAAUCUUCAUUAUAACAACAACCUGUAGACAAAAAACACGAGCAGCGAGAAUAGAAUUGAUAUUGUGACUCCGCAAGUGACAGACUAAAGCUUAAACGAAGAUUAGAGCAUAACAAAUCACAGAUGAUUACGGAAGUGGAGAUUAGAGAUGUCAAUUUCGAUUAAUAUUGCUAAAGAAAAAUCAGAAAUCACGUCUGUUGCAUCUAUGAAAUCUCCAACCGUCGAAUACUCACCAAUGGCGUAAAUAAUGGCGUUAAGAAGGUUGUAUAAUGAUUACAUGUGUUGAAAUUUCUGACUUGCCUCUUCGACUUCUGUUCUACCGCACGCGCCCAAUUAUUAUUAUUAUUAUUAUUAUUAUUAUUUGCCGUCAUAACUCCUCUCUAGCUGAAUAGGGUGAUACAGAUCUGAUUGAAGAAAAUGGGCCAGAAUUUCUCCAUAUACACUGAUAUACCUAUAUGGGCUCAUACUUAUGUCCCCAAUAACCUGAUGCCCUGGGCCAUUGCCCAAGCCGCCCAGUACCUGUGCCAACCCUGUUUGGGCAAUUUGAGGAGGGACAUUCGAGAGUUCAUGUUGAACUCGACGUACCGUACAUUUGCUGAGCUUCAGGCAAAUGCCCGGAAGCGGGAGAUCGAGUUGGAGACUCAGGCCAGGGAGGAGGCCGAGUCCUAGAGGAUGGAUCGGCGAUCGGCUCAGUCUCAGCCGGCAGCCAAGCGGGCCAAGCCCUUUGAUUCGAGGACUGGAGGCCAGAAGGGCCGUACUUGUGGGAAGUGCGGCAAGGGUCAUGAGGGAGCUUGUCAAUCGGGUGCUUGCUACAAAUGUGGUAAGGAGGGGCAUAUCGCCAAGGAUUGCCCUAAGGGAUUCAUGGUUUGCUUUCAUUGCAACCAGACUGGCAUCGGAAGGCCGAGUAUCCGCAGCUGCAUCAGGGGACAGCACAGGGAUCUGCACCUGCUGCUAGGGUUACCGAGGUUCGAUCGGUAAAGGCUGAGGCUCCGAAGGCUCGUGGGAUAGCUUUCCAGUUGACAGCGGAGGAGGUCCGCGCAGCACCUGACGUUGUGGCCGGUAUGUAUUCUUCUCUCUAUUUAUUUAAGUCUGAGAUAUUAUGCUUAUAUUAUGAUAUGCGUAGGUACUUUUCUUGUGAAUUUUGUGCCUGCCUUAGUGUUAUUUAACUCAGGAGCAAGUCAGUCUUUUGUGUCGUUAGCCUUCAGUUGUCAUAUCAACAUUUCUCGAGAGGCCAUGAGUCUACCUGUGCGAGUUUCUAUAGCUAACGAGCGAGCAGUGUAUGCCAUGGAUGUGAUUCGAGGAUGUAUCCUUGAGAUCUUCGGUGUAGAGUUUCCGAUAGAUCUGGUCCCGAUUGCGAUAGGGGACGUGUGUGUCAUAGUGGGCAUGGAUUGGUUGACCUGAUUUGGAGCUGUUAUAGAUUGCAAGCGUCGGUUGGUGACGAUACGAGACCCUAGUGGGGGAGUACUUACGGUGUACGGUGAGGGUACCCGUCCUGAGUCAGCAUUUUGUUCGACUGCUAGGGCGAGGAAGAGUUUACAAUAGGGCUGUAUGGGAUAAGUGGCUUACGUGAUGGACACACGAGUGACCGCUGGGAGGUCGAGUUCGAUUGAUGAGGUCCCAAUUGUGCAGGAGUUCCCUGACAUUUUCCCUGAGGAUUUUCCGGGUGUGCCUCCCGAGAGGCAGGUGGAGUUUCGUAUCGACUUGGUGCCUGGGGCGGCACCUAUUGCCAAGGCACCCUAUCGCCUUGCGCCGUAUGAGAUGCAGGAGUUAUCCUCGCAGCUUCAGGAGCUGUUGGGAAAGGGGUUUAUUAGACCGAGCACCUCACCUUGGGGAGCGCCGAUCCUUUUUGUCAAGAAGAAGGAUGGUUCACACCGGAUGUGUAUUGAUUAUCGGGAGUUGAACAAGCUAACGGUCAAGAACCGUUACGCGUUACCGAGGAUCGACGAUUUGUUCGAUCAGUUGCAGGGAGCGUCUUGGUUCUCCAAGAUUGACUUGAGGUCGAGAUAUCAUCAGAUGAGGGUUCGGGAUGAAGAUAUCCAGAAGACAGUGUUUAGAACUCGUUAUGGGUUUUACGAGUUCGUGGUGAUGCCCUUUAGAAUCACCAAUGCACCAGCCGCAUUCAUGGAUCUCAUUUAUAGAGUGCGCAGAUCGAUGUUGGAUCGAUCAAUGAUUGUUUUCAUCGAUGAUAUUUUGGUAUAUUCAAAAUCCAGAGAGCAACAUGAGGAGCAUUUGAGGGAAAUUCUCGGAGUUAUGAGAUCGGAGAGGUUUUACGCUAAAUUCUCCAAGAGUGAUUUUUGGUUACGGGAGGUCUAGUUCCUAGGGCAUCUCGUUAACCAGCAGGGGAUAUUGGUCGAUCCAGCCAAGAUUGAGGCUGUGAUGAGUUGGGAAGUGCCGAGGUCACCCUCUGAGAUCAUGAGAUUCUUAGGGUUGGCAGGCUACUAUUUGGAGAUUUAUCUGGGAUUUCUCCAAGAUCGUCGUGCCACUCACCAAGUUGACCCGGAAGGGUGUUGCGUUUUCUUGGGGUCCGGAGCAGCAGACCUCAUUCGAGACACUUCUACAGAAAUUAUGUGAAGCCCCGGUGUUAACCCUUCCGGAAGGGAUGGAGGAUUUCGUGGUGUAUUGUGAUGCAUCGAUAUCCGGAUUGGGAGUGGUGCUUAUGUAGAGGGGGCAUGUGAUAGCAUAUGCAUUGACGCCGCUUAAGCCUCAUGAGUCGAGGUAUCCCACUCAUGAUCUGGAAUUGGGAGCGGUGGGGUUCGCCCUCAAGAUCUGGCAUCACUAUUUGUAUGGGGUUCGGUGUACGAUAUACACGGACCACAAGAUCUUGAAGUAUUUGAUGGAUCAGCCCAAUCUGAAUAUGCAGCAGAUGAGAUGACUAGAUGUAGUAAACGAUUAUGAUUGUGAGAUCCUGUACCACCCGGGCAAGGCUAAUGUGGUAGCUGAUGCCCUGAGCCGUAGGGCGGAGGGCGCCCCGAUUCGAGGGGCCCAGGCGGAGGCCGUGAGACCGGAGAACCGCAAGAGAGAGCGAGUGAUCGGGCAGGUAUCGGAGUUUGUUACCGAUGGUCGAGGAGUUAUGACCUUCCAGGGUCGGGUUUGGGUACCGUUUAUGGGGGGAAUGCGUACCGUCUUGAUGGAGGAGGCGCAUAAAUCAAAGUUCUCGAUCCACCUAGGGGCCACUAAGAUGUAUUUGGACCUGAAGAAGGAGUAUUGGUGGCCCUGUAUGAAGAAGGAUGUUGCAUGGUUUGUGGAGAGGUGCUUGAUCUGUCGUAAGGCUAAGGCCGAGCACCAACACCCGCAUGUUAAGUUACAGCCGUUAGAGGUUCCCGAGUGGAAGUGGGAAGAAAUCACCAUGGAUUUUAUCACCAAAUUGUCGAGGACUGCCAGGGGUGUCGAUGCGAUUUGGGUGAUUAUGGACCGGUUGACGAAGAGCGCUCACUUUCUUGCUAUCAGUGAGAGCUCCUCUGCUGAAAGGUUAGCAGAGUUAUACGUGAGGGAGGUGGUAUCACGGCAUGGAGUUCCGAUCUUGAUUGUUUCAGACCGAGAUGUGUGUUUUACUUCCAGAUUUUGGAAGAAGUUCCACGAGGAAUUGGGUACGAGGCUGCAUUUCAGUACCGCAUACCACCCACAGACCAACGGGCAGAGCGAGCGGACAAUCCAGAUGCUCGAGGACAUGCUUCGGGCAUGUGUAUUGGAUUUCGGCGGAAGUUGGGACACGUAUUUACCGUUGGCUGUUUUUUCCUAUAACAACAGCCAUCACUCGAGCAUUGGUAUGCCACCUUUUGAGUUGUUGUAUGGAAGGAGGUGUCGUACCCCCAUUUGUUGGGGCGAGGUAGGGCAGUGUGUCAUGGGUAGUACAGAGAUAGUGAUUCAGACGACAGAGUAGAUACAACAGGUCCAACAGAGAUUAUUGACCGCUCAGAGCCGCCAGAAGAGUUACGCGGAUAGGCGACGAUCCGAACUCGAAUUUCGGGUCGGCGAUUUCGUGCUCCUGAAGGUAUCUCCUUGGAAAAGAGUGAUUCGAUUCAGGAAAAGGGGCAAGCUGGGACCCCGGUAUAUUGGGCCGUUCAGAGUGAUCGCACGGGUGGGCAGGGUAGCGUAUCGCUUGGAGCUACCUCCGGAGUUGGACCAGAUUCAUGACACCUUCCACGUAUCGCAGCUGAGGAAGUGUAUUGCCAAUGAGUCGGUAGUGGUGCCAUUAGAUGAUAUCCAGGUCGAUGUGAGUCUGAAUUAUGCUGAGAAGCCGAUCACAAUCUUGGAUCGGAGGAUCAAGGUUCUGAGGAGCAAGGAAGUGCCCCUAGUUUAGGUUCAGUGGCAACAUCGGAAGGGGUCCGAGCUGACCUGGGAGCCGGAGUCGGAAAUGUGGGAGCAACAUCCAGAGUUGUUCACAGCGUGAGACUUCGAGGGCGAAGUCUGGUUCUAGUGGGGGAGAAUUGUAACAACCCGAAUUCCAGGUUAGCUUUAUGGCCCUUCUAUUUUGGUGAAUUGGCAUUUUAGUCCCUUGAAGUUGAAAAGAUGAUUUGGUGAGUACGUUGGGCGUACUGGGGCAUACGCCGCGCGUACUCAUGCGCUUAAUUCAUACGCGUGUUCAUCCGGGUACGUUGGGCGUACCCAAGGUUACGCCGGGUGUAACCGACCCAGAUGCAAAACCCUAAUUUGUGGCCUUGCACUAUAAAAAGAACAUGUAGUCCUUUGCCCUAGCCACCAUGCACCCUUGAGAGAACCCUUAGAGAGCUGAGGUUCGUGCUUUAGCUGGUGUGUGAGUUUUUGAGCUUGAAGUUGUCUUUGCAAGGUGAAGAAGGAGAAGAGGAAGCCAUUGUUGGAGCUAGAAGUUGAAGAACUAGUAUAGAUCUGAGUUUUUCAGUGGUUGGAGAUCCUUCCUGGGGUAAAAAGCUCAAAGCUUUCCUUGUUCUUCAUAAGCUUUGCUUGUUGGACCAUUUGUUAGGGUUUUGGUUCAAAGUUGGAGACUUUAUGUGCAAAGAGUCUCCAUGAGUUUGGAUCUGACCUUUUCUAGUGUAAAAUGUAUUGAGGAGUCAUAAAAAUCGAGUCUUGGAUGUGGAUCUUGUGGCAUGCAUGAGUUAUAGUCACAUUAUGGAAAGAGGAAGGGUGUUUUGAGCACAAAGUGAUCUUUACAGCCAUGCAAAGGCUUAAAGGUUCCAACUUUAUGGUUUAAGACGUAUUAGAGGGGUCAGAUCUAAAGUUUGGAUGCAAGUCUUAACCGUUUAAGACCCGAAUAAGUUGAACAAAGAAACUGGGCAUUACGCUAGGCGUAAUCCCAGUACAUGCCGCGUAAGGGGUUGCGUACCCCGUUUCUGGAAGCAAGAGUACGCCCCGCAUACAGGAGCUGGUACGCCCCGCGUACUGCUUGCUGUUGACUUUUAGGGUUUUAGUCAACAUGUGGACUUUUGGGGCCAGGGAGGGGUAAAAUAGUCUUUUACCCUUCUGUUGAAUUUAGAAGGAAUAUGGUAUAGCCUUGCGAGCCGUUAUUGAUUUAGAAUGAUUAUUUGAUGUGAUUAGGCGAGGCUAGGUCAAGGUUACGAGAUUCAGAAAUAUCGAGCACGUGAGACUUAGACAUCAUAAGAGGUGAGUCUUCUCACUAUACUGUACCUGGAAGGGUAUCUAUGUGUGACCGGAAGGUCUGGUAUGCUAUAAUAUAUAUGAAUUAUAUGUGAAGUUGCCUGUUUUGUAUGCGUUAUGUAUGCUAUGCUUGAUAUGGGCCGGAAGGCAAUAUGUUAUGGGCCGGAAGGCAUCAUGCUGUGGACUGGAAGGUCGACACAGGUGGGACCGGAAGGUUUACCGGGUCGGGACGGAAGUUCCCUGAGACACAUGGACCGGAAGGUCAUGGCCUGGAAGGGCGUAUGUGUGUAAGUGGUAUAUUAGGGAACUCACUAAGCAUUUAUGCUUACAGUUGUGGUGUUAUGUGUUUCAGGUACUAGCGAGGACCGUGGGAAGGCACCGUCAUGACUCGUACACACACACAUGCAGUCAGAUUUGGAUUUGUUUGAUCUUGGUAUUUGACAUGUUUUGUAUUAUGAUUAUGAUACAUGGGAUUUUUAUGGUUGGAUUUGGAUGAAAAUAUGUUUUUAAGAAAUGAAAAAUUGUUUUGAAAAAAUCACGUCGUUACAUGAUGCAUCUUCACUUCGUACAAAUCCAAACUCUUUGACCUUCUCAUCAAAGCAAAGAUUCCAUCUGCGGGAUGCUUGCUUAAGUCCAUAAAUGGAAUUUUCAAGCUUGCACACUCUAUUAGGAUGCUUCAGACUGACGAAAACCUCUGGCUAAGCCAUGUAAACAUCCUCAGCCAACUUCCCAUUAAGGAAAGCGGUCUUGACAUCCAUCUGCCAUAUCUCAUAAUCAUGAAAUGAAACAAUGGAUAUCAUCACCCUAAUAGAUUUUAUCUUAGCAACUAGUGAGAAGGUCUCAUCAUAGUCAACUGCGGGAGUUUGAGUAAAGACCUUCGCCACCAAUCGUGCCUUAUGCAUGUGCACAUUCCCAUCCAUGUCGGUCUUCUUCUUGAAGAUCCAUUUGCACCUAACCGUCUUACGUUCGUGCACAUUGUCAACCAAAUUCCAAACUUGGUUGUCAUACAUGGACUGAAUCUCACUGUCCAUCGCCUCUUUCCAUUUUGCAGACUGUGGGCCUGCCAUGGCUUCCUUAUAGCUAUUAGGUUCAUCUAGAUUUAUUAGUGUACCAUCACUAAUAUACGUGUCCCCUUCGGUAGUAAUAUGAAAAAAAUAAAACUGUGGUUGAACUCUAACUCUUUCGGAACGUCUAAGAGGUAAGGACUCGUCAAUCGGUUCAACCGGAGUUUCCUCCUCGGGUUGAGCGCCAGCGUUAGAGGUUCCUUCAUCACUCGACUCUUGAAUCUCUUCAAGAUCGACUUGCCUCCUACUGUCCCCUUGGCUUAUGAGUUCCUGCUCUCUGAAAACCCCUCUCCUUGCAACGAAGAAAACAUUGUCACUCGGUCUAUAGAAGAGAUACCAAAAGGAUUUCUACGAGUAGCCGAUGAAAAUACAUCGCUCACUACAAGGUUCGAGCUUGUUGUGAGUCUCUCGUCUUACGAAAACCUCACAACCCCAAACCUUGAUAUGUGCCAACGAGGGAGCUUUCCCUGUCCACAUCUCGUGAGGUGUUUUGGCAACCUUCUUUUUAGGGACUCGGUUAAGGAUGUGGGCGGCAGUCUCUAAGGCAUACCCCCAGAAUGAGAUAGGUAGUGAAGCACGACUCAUCAUAGAACGAACCAUGUCCAACAGGGUUCGAUUACGCCUUUCUGCCACACCAUUCAACUGUGGUGUCCUAGGUGAUGUCAAUUGCGAAACUAUUCCGCAUUCCUUGAGAUAGUCAUGGAAUUCAAGACUAAGGUACUCUCCACCUCGAUCGGAUCGAAGCAUCUUGAGUUUCCUUCCCAAUUGAUUCUCCACUUCAUGUUUGAAUUCUUUGAGUUUUUCAAACGUUUCUGACUUGUGCUUGAUUAAGUAAAUAUACCCAUAUCUACUAUAAUCAUUGGUGAAAGUCAUGUUGAAGCGGUUCCUAUCCUUUGUGGUGGAUCUAAAGGGCCCACACACGUCGGUGUGUGUGAGAUCCAAUAAACCCUCACCCCUCUCACAAGUGCCAGUGAAGCGUGAAUUGGUCAUCUUUCCAAGUAAACAAGAUUCUCACGUGUCAUCUUCCCUAAGGUCAAUUGACUCCAACACUCCAUCCUUUUGGAGUUGGGCUAUGUGCUUCUUGUUGACAUUUCCAAGACGACAAUGCCACAAGGAUGCUUUAUCCAUACUAUUGGAAGAAUCCAUACACAACACAUCAUUUCCUAGGUUAUCUACAACCAUAAUAGUUUCAUAAAUUCAAUUACAUGGCAUUGCUUCAAAAUAUAAAUCACCAUUUAGAUAUGCAUAAAUCGAACCAUUCUCAUUAUUAAACGAAUAUCUAAAUCCUUAUCUAAACAAACCAUGAAAAGAAAUGAUGUUUCUUUCCAUAUCUGGCGAGUAGCAACAAUUAUUUAAAUCUAAAUUCAAUCCAUUACUAAGUACUAAAUAAUACACUCCAAUCUUGGUAAUAGGCGACGAUCUUCUGUUCCCCAUGAUUAGAUUUAUUCUUCCAAGCUCCGCAUCCCUAUUUCUUCCUAGUCCUUGCAAAUCAGAACAAAUAUGGUAACCACACCCUGUAUCAAGAACCCAAGAAAUAGCAUGGGAUGAAUUAUUAGAUUUAAUUGUGUAUAUACCUGCAAAAGAUGGCUUGAUCUUUCUAUCCUUGAUGGCUUGCAGAUAUUCCGGGCAACUUCUCUUCCAAUGCCCUAUUUUGUGGCAAUGAUGGCAGUCUACCUCCUUUGGGUUAGGGUUGGGCUUAGCAGGAUCAACCUUGGUCCCACUAGAAGAGGAACAAUCUUGGGACUUUCCCU